RNAcentral lists this long non-coding RNA (48771 nucleotides) under Triticum aestivum (bread wheat). Its description in RNAcentral is "long non-coding RNA (TAES_LNC012979)". Lineage: Eukaryota; Viridiplantae; Streptophyta; Magnoliopsida; Poales; Poaceae. The record is from RNAcentral.
UAGAGCCUCCUGCUGCGCAUAUAUGUACAUCGAUCCGCCGUCCCGUCGAUCGAUCGUUUCUUCGUCUUCCUCCUCCUCCUGCUCCCCUGUUCUUGCAGUUUCGUGGGACGCGGGAAUCCUACAGGAACCGAUGCCCAUCCAUAUAGAGAAGAUCGAGGUCCUGUAGAAUUCCCGGGUCCCAAACUGCGCACCAUCCUCCACUGUGGCUUUUGUUCUUUCUUUUAGCGCGUUGCGCCUGAUGUGUGAGGUCUCGUGUUAAUAACUGCGUGCCUGUGUAUACAACUAUAGAUAUAUGCUUUGUGUGGACUGUGGAGGUACAUGUACGAGCGUGUAUGACACAAUGUACUGAAUUCUAACGGGAUUGCUAAAUCUCAGUCACUCAGACUCAUUCCAUGUUAUAUUGGUGAGAUUUUACAUGAAGAUCCAUGCACAAAAGAAAAAAAAUCUUUUUUUUUCUUUUUAAAUGUUAUGUCACAUGACUGAGACUUGGUUAAUUUUCAGUCGAGUGAGAUCUAGCCACACCCAAUGUGAAACGUGCUGCACGGCAGGAACUGCAGGCUGCAGCGCUGCUGUGUGGUAUCCUCAUCCCCGUAUCGGAGCGAGGAAAGAUGAGACUGUAAUGGAGGCAGAGAGAGCAGCAACGUGGCCCCCUUAGAGCAUCUCCAAUAGAUGGUCCAAAACCGGAGAUGUAAAAUUUGGACCGUCAAAAAGUGCGUUUUGGAGCUCCGAAAAAACCUCAACUCCAACAGAUGGUCAAAAUUGAUGGUUCAAAAGAGCAACUCCAAUAGAUGGUCCAAAAUGAAGAUGUAUAAAUUUCUUAAAACGACAUACUACUAGUCCAUUCAACAUAGUUCAAACAUCAAAUUCAACAUAGUUUCAUACAUGAACUUCAACUACUACAUAUUCAAACUACUAGAUAAACUACUCCUCAUCGUCGGAACUGCGCCCAGAACUCCUCCUUCGUCGGGUCGUUGCACCCUUCCUCCUCCUCCUCCUCCUCGUCCGAGAAGUCUGCCCAGUCCUCCUCGAAAGAGGACUCGAUGGGGAUCACCGUCGAGGGACCGGCCUCGUCCUCCUUCUUCGGCCCCUUCUUCUUCUGCUCCGCCUCACGCUUUCAGUAGUACUCCAGCUCGGCCUGGACGUACUCCGGAUGCUCCCGAGCAAACCUCGCCAUCGCCUCCUCGUCGGUCUCGCCAGUACUGACGACAACCGACGACUUCUUCGUUUUCUUCUUCUUCGUCGUGAUCUCCUUCAUGUUGAUGCCCUGCGGCACAAGCAUCUCUGCUUCCGCCCGACGCGCGGCCUCGUGGGCGGAGGGGUACGUGUCGAUCCACCAACGCCUCCCGGCGUCGGAGAACUCCACACCCCAGUUACCGGAGCGCUUCUGCCUCACGCCGAAGAAGCCCGACUUGCCCUUCGGCGUCUUCUUCGGCGCCAUCGGAGAGCGGUGGAGCGGCGACGGCGUGCGGCCGGGGCGGUGGCGGACGGAGCCGGGCGGGGCGGAGCUGCGGGGCGGCGGCGNNNNNNNNNNNNNNNNNNNNNNNNNNNNNNNNNNNNNNNNNNNNNNNNNNNNNNNNNNNNNNNNNNNNNNNNNNNNNNNNNNNNNNNNNNNNNNNNNNNNNNNNNNNNNNNNNNNNNNNNNNNNNNNNNNNNNNNNNNNNNNNNNNNNNNNNNNNNNNNNNNNNNNNNNNNNNNNNNNNNNNNNNNNNNNNNNNNNNNNNNNNNNNNNNNNNNNNNNNNNNNNNNNNNNNNNNNNNNNNNNNNNNNNNNNNNNNNNNNNNNNNNNNNNNNNNNNNNNNNNNNNNNNNNNNNNNNNNNNNNNNNNNNNNNNNNNNNNNNNNNNNNNNNNNNNNNNNNNNNNNNNNNNNNNNNNNNNNNNNNNNNNNNNNNNNNNNNNNNNNNNNNNNNNNNNNNNNNNNNNNNNNNNNNNNNNNNNNNNNNNNNNNNNNNNNNNNNNNNNNNNNNNNNNNNNNNNNNNNNNNNNNNNNNNNNNNNNNNNNNNNNNNNNNNNNNNNNNNNNNNNNNNNNNNNNNNNNNNNNNNNNNNNNNNNNNNNNNNNNNNNNNNNNNNNNNNNNNNNNNNNNNNNNNNNNNNNNNNNNNNNNNNNNNNNNNNNNNNNNNNNNNNNNNNNNNNNNNNNNNNNNNNNNNNNNNNNNNNNNNNNNNNNNNNNNNNNGCGGCAGGGCGGCGGGGGGGUGUGGAGGCGGUGGGGCGGCGGCGGACGGGCGGGAGGUCGCGAGUGGGCGGGCAGGAAAGGAAAUGAAGUGACGGUUGGGCGUUCGCGGACGGCGGCUGGUUUUGGACCAGAUGCACCUCGUGAUGUAAAUUUGCAUCGCGAGGUGCUGUAUUUUACAUCACGAGGAGGCCGCGGUCAAUUUUUUUUUACAUAUGAACCGUCUGUUGAAGAUGCGUUUUUGGCCUCAGAUAGUCCAAAAGUUAGUUAUUUUUAUAUUUAAACCAUCUAUUGGAGACGCUGUUAGGAACCUCUUUAUCAGAGCGGCAUCCACCGCCGCCGACGGGUCUCUUAGUGUUUCAAUUGCAGCACUGCCCCUUCGAAUCUUCCUUGCACAUCGACAGCCAUCACGCGGCACAGAAGGGUUCACCCUCGGUCGCAAGAAUAGAGGGAUCGGGAGAGAUGGGGUGUGGGGAUGAGUGGACACGACAGCUGCAAGAGUACCAGCAACGUGAUUCUCGAGAGGACCCGCAUCGCCGCGCCCCCUUCUCUAUUAUCACCUUCAUUCGGAAAUUAGUGGGCUUUCUUCGGCUGGCAGGCCCAAUUAACUAGACUGCUCAAAUUUUCCACCAGAGAGCUGCCCUAUAGGACAGGUGGCCGAUUUAAUGGAAAAAUGUGGAAUAGCACAACAUCGAACGGCCAAAAUCACUAAAUGCAUCAGUAGGGAAGUNNNNNNNNNNNNNNNNNNNNNNNNNNNNNNNNNNNNNNNNNNNNNNNNNNNNNNNNNNNNNNNNNNNNNNNNNNNNNNNNNNNNNNNNNNNNNNNNNNNNNNNNNNNNNNNNNNNNNNNNNNNNNNNNNNNNNNNNNNNNNNNNNNNNNNNNNNNNNNNNNNNNNNNNNNNNNNNNNNNNNNNNNNNNNAUGAUGUUCCACAUCAACCAGGUUAAGGCAAAUAAAAUUUGUAACAGAGCAACCCUAGCACACCCGCAAAGGGCAGAAACCUCAACAAUUCCCGACUUGCAAGGCAAUACUAAAACAUGAAUUAAACAGAAAGUAAUCACAUGGGACUUGAGUUCUUAGAGAGGACAAGAUGGAGACUCAUUUCUUCAUCACUUAUUAGUAGUUGGAGUACAUAUGCGAAAUAUAAUAUAAUUAAUCAAUACAAGCAGAUCCCCCUAAAAAGAAUUGGGCUGAAUCAAUUUGUGAAGGUGUAUUGGUAUAGGAACCCUUCCCAUCCUCAGUAGAUGGCAAAUCCACAUUGACAAUAUGACUAAUAUAGUCUGCAUCGAUAAGCUUGAGAUUACUAAAGGAUGCAGCAUUGCCACUUGUUGAAAUAUAGCCACUUCCCGUUGGAGGACUAUGUCGUGGUUUCUUAUGAUUAACAUAGCCACCAAAGGUUAUCUCCAAAGGUUUAUCUACGAGUCCCGGGAUCAAGGAUUUAGGGAAGUAACCCACUGGUUUUCGAUCACCCUUAGCUCCGAAAUGGAUGUGCCAAUCACCUGGAUAUUUUUCCUUGUUUUGAAGCCUCUUUUCCUCUUGAUUUGACUCGAUCAAGUGCUUAUUAUCUCCUAUUUAUCGUCUACCAUUUGUAUAUAGUAUUAUUCACACGAAAAGGGUUGCACAAACUUGUGUGUGCAAACAACUUUAGAGUAAGAAAGGCAGUAUAUGAAGAAGGUGCAAAGCGCUUUGCCUUAUAUUAUCCUAGCUACUGGCACACUCGGGUGCGCGUGCACACACACAUGCAUACAUAUAAAUAAAAACAUGUCUUUCAUUCAGUAACAGGGGGAGUAGUGUAUAAGGUCAAAUUAUCUUAAGUCUACAUAUUUAAGUUUUUACAUGAAGAGCAUCGGUAUCCACUUGUCGUGAUACAUCAUAUAUGAUCAUCACUUGUUUGUGUCUAGCAUAAUUCAGCACUUGGGCUCCAAAAAUUAAUGAUAAACUCUAAAAUGCAAUUAUUCACAUAUAAUUGACGAAGAGUUCAUGAUAAUAGAUAAUGCUUUUAUGUACUAGCACAAACUAGCUAAGUACAAUUCUUAGAGAAAGUUACGAUGAACUUGUUUAGUGAUGCCUUACACAACACAACAAUUGCUUUGUGAUGUGCAAGAUUUUAAUCUUGUUCGAUGUCAACUUGAUUAAUUCCAGUUUGAACAAUCUAGCAUGGAUGUUGCAGUAGCAGGUUCAUACCUUGAAUAUCCUUAGGGUGAUAUAUGUUUUCUGGCCACCAAUGCGUGAAAGUGGACUGAUGACAUUGCCUGGAGCUAUACUUGAUGAUGUCUUGUGAAAUCCAGGGCAAAUCAUGUUCAUGCCGCCCUUGCGAGAAGUUCCACCACUCUGAGAUUACAAUAUUAUUAGGAGAAUGUGCAAAAAUGUUUCGAAUAUCGCAUUCUUUUUUGAAGAAAAAAAUGAAAGCGUCCUGAGGGAGUUCAUCAUGGUCGAGUAAAGGGCCACAAGUCUAGAGUUUGAUACCUACUUGAUACGAUUAUUGCUUCAUGAUAUAUGAAUAACACAAUGACACACAAAUAUAUUACAACCUACUUUUAUACAUAGAUAUCAAUGGGAAUUUAAAUUGGUAUUGUAAAAUAAUAUUAAUUCGUGAUAGCAAGAGUUGUGUGUUCGUAAGUGUGGAAUACCUAAAUAAUGUCAUUUUGCAAGGAAAUGGACUACAUUAUGUGACACAUUAUUGGAUCGUUUUUAAAACAUUACGUAGACCAUAAUUUUGGAGAAGUAAGUCAACUGAUGAUGUCUCGUACAUCUAGAAUGUGCAUGCGUGUACAUACAAUAUUGCUAGUUCCUGGAAUUAGAUAUGAUGGUCUUCGUAGUUAAUGCAACAAACAUAAACACUUGCAGGUAAUCACUCUUAUUCUAUAUUUUAAACACAUAACAUGCACAGUGUAGCUUGUAAAGUUUAGAAAGAAAAACCUUACAAUCCAAGCUGUGUAGAAAUGGGUCCGAGAAUCCUUGUACAACGAUGGGGAAAUCUACGCAUAAUUGCUGUAUGUGUUAAUAUAUAUAUGUACAAAAUAUACAUCCAUUAUGACUGUAAUAUAUAACAUACUUAGAGAACACAAGAAAAAACCACAAUAAAGUACAACAUUAAACAUGAAUAAAUUAACCACAUAUAGUAGGCAAAGAUUACUGUAGAAUAUGUAGUCUAUCAAGAGCAAUCUAAGUUAAGAAGCUCUUUCACCAGUUAUUAAAUGGCUCUUAACAUAGAGUUUAGUUUUUGUGCAUGAUCCUUAAAAUAGGCAUGCUUCAAGCACUCAUUUUCAAACUAUGGCGUUGUACAAGAGGAAAGAAAAACUACAUUAUUCUUGAACCAAUAUCUUGGAUGCAAGAAAAUACAUAAUCUUAAUUCUUUCCAGGAAACACCGUUGAGGUUGGAAAGAAAAACUUGCAUGAUAAUCUGCUAAGAGCAUCUCCAACAGCAGCCCUACAAUAGAUCACGAAAACACGGUGGAGUAAAAUAAUUUGGCAUGAAAAUGUGUUUUUUGGCACAAGCAAGCGUCGUCUCCAACAGCUUCCCUAAAAUACGGCACUCGAACAUUCUAAACUGAAUCUGCUGUCUUCUUUGAACUUUACUGUCAAAAGUGAAUUUGUUUAUUGAAAUUUCUAAAACUGAAACUAAACUGAAUUUUACUAGUACAAGGAGCAGAGAAGCACUGCAUGUUCAGAAAAUUGGAAUAUUGCAUUUGCACUUGCACUACACAUGUUCAGAAAGAAGCAAUAAAGCACAACACCCAUGGAUCAAUCCGUCGUAAUUGCUAGAUCCAUCCAGCGCAACACACAAGAAGAUUAGUAAGUGAAAUUUGCUGCCGCAUCUGUGACUGCUGCCACAAAGCUUUCAGAUUCAGAGGAAAAUCAAGAACAUGCAGCCUUUAGAACUUUACCCUGAAAUCACCUCGUGCCCAAAAAUAGGGCUGCUAUUGAAAAUGCUUUAGAUAUACACGUUUAAACAAUUUAAUCAUGAAUUGAUUGAAGGAAUAUAAAUAGUGUAUUUUUUUCUUACACAUAGUUUAAGCAACCUACUCCAUGUGUUUCAAAGAUAAUGAUGUUUGAAAAGUGCAUCCUAUAUUUUUCCCAUAAUUUUUUAGUAUAAUUUGUCAAAAAAACUAAUGUUAUUCAUAACUCGUACUUGAUUAUGUACGUGAUUUUGGAAUUUUUAUCACACUUCAUUGCUACCAGUAAGAGCUAAUUAACAUGCAUUAGCUUGUAGGUUAAUUAUGAUCAUUAGCCACGCUAUAAACUAUUUGGGACUAAUAAUAAUAUUUAACACGCUUAUUUAAUCACACAUUCUUAAUGAAUCGUUUUAUUACAUAUGGUGUGUGUAUAGUAUGUCUUCUCUAAACAACAAAGUUGUACAUAGAAGCUCACUAAUUACAAAUAAAUAUGCCAAAACUAAAAAUAAGAUCUUAUAAUAAAUCAUGCACCCGACGGGUUCUAAUAUUGGAACUUCUAAAAAUUAUAUUGGUAGUAAUACACAACAUAUGCAAAAAAAAAUGUGGUAUUUUAUUCAUGUUGAGUAGUUUAAUAACCAAGUGUAAUUAAAUUAAUAUAUAUGUAGUUGUACAAGUCACAUAACUUACAUGCCAUCCAAUUUGGAUUCCAUUGAGUGAAGAUGGUUGUCCAUCUCCCCUAUAUAGAAUCGAAAUCAUAGACGUGCACUUUCUUGCCCAUUUUGUAAAUCAAAGACGUAAACAUCUAGUGUGGCCUCUGCACCAUAAUAAUGCUUAUUGCCACCUCCUGACGGCCAUGUAUAACAUGCGAACUAUUAAAAUGUAAUAAAGUCAUCUGCGUGUAAGUAGGACACAGAUUUCAUGAUGUAUGUGAUACUAAAAAUAUCACAAACAACAAUGCAGUUAAGGGAAACUUAAUACUCACAUAAGUAAUUUUUGAAUUUUUGUCAGAGGUAAGAUUUCCCUUUGUAAGGAAGAAUUCUGGAUGAAUUUCAUAGGGCCAUGCAAUUGUCGAGAUUCCUUGCUUUAUAUUGUAGGGAGGGUGCAAAUAGGGAGAGAAUGUAAAUAAUGAUGUGAAUGUUCAUCGCAAUAUCAAUGGUAAAUAAACGGCAAACUUGCCUCUUCAAUAGCAUGAAAACACCCUCCUUUAGGUAUGCUACCAAGAAGUAGCACAAUAAACAACAUAAUAGGUUGAGGAGAAUUAUCCAUGUAGAAGCCAAAGAGAAACACAAGUACCGGUGUACUGAUGUGCCCUUCAUUGAGGCCCGCCCUCUUAAAUAGUGUGAAGCAGUGUGGUGCCUAUAGGAUUCGGUGCGGAAUAUUAGCGAGAGUGCAAUAAAAGAUUUCAUUCCAUAAAAAAUCUUGUUGGAAUAUCUGCUAUUUAAGAAAAAAUAAUGUGGUUCAUUUAUAUCCUAGUGAGAUGUGACGAUCAUAUAAGAUAUAAGAUAUAUAAAAAUGAAUUCAUUGAAAAGGAAAAUCUAGGAUUAUGGAAAAUAAUAAAUAAUCCAUCAUAUACUAUUAAUGAAUAUAUAUAUGAAUUAACUUAAGAAAAGGCAUAUCUAUGAUUUAAUAUCAACAGGCCUUAAAAGGCCAAGUGGUGGAGGUAGAAUUGGGACACAAGGGCCAAUAGGGGUGGCGCGCCCUCUCCCAUGGAAAGAAGGGGUGAGGACGAAUUGGGGAGAGAUUCCCGCUCCCCUAGGCCGGCGCAAGGGGGGAUUCCUUUCCCCCCUUGUGUGACGCCCCCUCCUCUCCCUCCAACCUAUAUAUACUAGAAGCUUUGGCACUUUUUGAACACACAAGUUUGGAGCCUCCUCUAGUUCUUUAAUUAUAGUUCUAGUUGGUCCUAGUUGAUCAAUUAGAGCUAGACCUAGAUCCUAUUGUCCUCAUAAUUAGAAGCCCAAUGUGCUUCUAAUCUGCUCCCUCUAAUUCUCCAGCAACCAUUAGCUCUGGAAGGCGAAGAUCAUGAAGACCGUGCGCUUGCAACUUGUAGAGAGGCCAUGCUUUCGAUCUUCUGUUCGAGGGACUGUUCGUGGGAUGUUCGCGGGUUCGUUCUUCUACGUUUGAGGGACUCCAAGUACGAUCUACACCGACUCGUCUUCUUCUGCUGCAACUCGGAGUCGAUAUGAUCAAAUUCAAACCAUUAAUGCAUCUUCAUAUUGUGUCUUGGUGAUUGUAGGGUGAAUUUUUGUUGUUUUCUACUACAUUUCUCAACACGAUGGUCACUAAUAAAGAAGAAAUAUUUUGUGACGUCAUUUGGACUGCGGAUAAUUUUAAGGUAUUUGUUUGGUGGAUGUGUCUGAUGUUGAUGUUACCUUGUUUGCAUGUACCAAAUUGGUUGCCCUAUGUCCGCUACUAAUACAAUCUAUCAUUUUGCUUAAAUUUUUAGGAUAGGUGGAGAAAUCUAUGGAAAUCCUUAAACUUCUCGCCAGAUUGUCGGCUGCGCCUUGGACAUUAGGGUAUAUACAUGCGAACAAGUAAGCAUUGUAUGUGUAGAAAGCAUUGCAUCGCUACAUAUAACAAUAGUCUUACAACGAAAAAAACACUUCAUGAUUUUAAUGGCAUCCACAAGCCAGACCCCCAAAUUAAGAUUCUAAUUGUUGGAAAUAUGCCCUAGAGGCAAUAAUAAAAUGGUUAUUAUUAUAUUUCCUUGUUCAUGAUAAUUUUCUAUUGUUCAUGCUAUAAUUGUGUUAUCCGGAAAUCGUAAUACAUGUGUGAAUACAUAGACCACAACAUGUCCCUAGUGAGCCUCUAGUUGACUAGCUCGUUGAUCAAUGGAUGGUUACGGUUUCCUGACCAUGGACAUUGGAUGUCGUUGAUAACGGGAUCACAUCAUUUGGAGAAUGAUGUGAUGGAGAAGACACAAUCCUAAGCAUAGCACAAGGUUGUGUAGUUCGUCUGCUAAAGCUUUUCUAAUGUCAAGUAUCAUUUCCUUAGACCAUGAGAUUGUGCAACUCCCGGAUACCGUAGGAAUGCUUUGGGUGUGCCAAACGUCACAACCUAACUGGGUGGCUAUAAAGGCACACUACGGGUAUCUCCGAAAGUGUCUGUUGGGUUGGCACGAAUCAAGACUGGGAUUUGUCACUCCAUGUGACGGAGAGGUAUCUCUGGGCCCACUCGGUAAGACAUCAUCAUAAUGAGCUCAAUGUGACCAAGGAGUUGAUCACGGGAUGAUGUGUUACGGAACGAGUAAAGAGACUUGCCAGUAACGAGAUUGAACAAGGUAUAGGGAUACCGACGAUCGAAUCUCGGGCAAGUAUCAUACCGGUAGACAAAGGGAAUUGUAUACGGGAUUGAUUGAAUCCUCGACAUUGUGGUUCAUCCGAUAAAAUCAUUGUGGAACAUGUGGGAGCCAACAUGGGUAUCCAGAUCCCGCUGUUGGUUAUUGACCAGAGAGAUGUCUCGGUCAUGUCUACAUGCCUCCCGAACCCGUAGGGUCUACACACUUAAGGUUCGAUGACGCUAGGGUUAUAGGGAAAGUUGGUAUGUGGUUACCGAAUGUUGUUCGGAGUCCCGGAUGAGAUCCCGGACAUCACGAGGAGUUCCGGAAUGGUCCGGAGGUAAAUAAUAAUAUAUAGGAAGUGAGGUUUUGGCCACCGAAAGUAUUUCGGGCGUCACCGGUAAUUUACCGGGACCACCGGAAGGGUUCUAGGGGUCCACCGGGAGGGGCCACCAGCCCCGGAGGCUUGCAUGGGCCAAGCGUGGGAAGGGACCAGCCCCUGAGUGGGCUGGUGCGCCUCCCACCAAGGCCCAAGGCGCUGCUAGGAGGAGUGGGGGGAAACCCUGGGCGCAGAUGGUCCUAAAGGCCCACCCUAGGGCGCGCCCCCCUCUCUCCCCCUCUUGGCCGCCCCCGGCUGCCGCACCCCCUAGGGUGGGAACCCUAGAGGGGGCGCAGCCACCUCCCCUCCUCCUAUAUAUAGUGGGGUUUUUGGGGCUGCCAAAGACACGAGUCUCUCUCUCUCUCUCCCUCCCUCUCUCUCUCUCUCUCUCUCGGCGCAGCCCUAUCUCUCCACAUCCUCGUCCUUCAUAGUGCUUGGCGAAGCCCUGCUGGAAACCACGCUGCUCCACCACCACCACGCCGUCGUGCUGCUGCUGGAGUUGUCUUCCCCAACCUCUCCCUCCUCCUUGCUGGAUCAAGGCGCGGGAGACGUCACCGGGUUGCACGUGUGUUGAACGCGGAGGCGCCGUUGUUCGGCGCUUAGAUCGGAAUCGACCGCGAUCUGAAUCGCUGCGUGUCCGACUCCUCCAACUGCGUUCUUGUAAUGCUUCCGCAUCGCGAUCUUCAAGGGUAUGAAGAUACACUCCCCCUCUCUCGUUGCUAGUCUCUCCAUAGAUUGAUCUUCGUGAUGCGUAGAAUUUUUUUAAUUUCUGCAACGAUCCCCAACAGUGGCAUCAUGAGCUAGGUCUAUGCGUAGUUUCUAUGCAUGAGUAGAACACAAGUUGUUGUGGGCGUUGAUUUUGUCAAUUUACUUGCCGUUACUAGUCUUAUCUUGAUUCGGCGGCAUCGUGGGAUGAAGCGGCCCGGACCGACCUUACACGUACGCUUACGUGAGACAGGUUCCACCAACUGACAUGCACUAGUUGCAUAAGGUGGCUAGCGGGUGUCUGUCUCUCCCACUUUAGUCGGAUCGGAUUCGAUAAAAAGGGUCAUUAUGAAGGGUAAAUAGCAAUUGGCAUAUCACGUUGUGGUUUUGGCGUAGGUAAGAAACAUUCUUGCUAGAAACCUAUAGCAGCCACGUAAAAACUUGCAACAACAAUUAGAGGACGUCUAACUUGUUCUUGCAGCAUAUGCCGUGUGAUGUGUUAUGGCCAAAAGGAUGUGAUGAAUGAUAUAUGUGAUGUAUGAGAUUGAUCAUGUUCUUGUAAUAGGAAUCACGACUUGCAUGUCGAUGAGUAUUACAACCGGCAGGAGCCAUAGGAGUUGUCUUAAUUUAUUGUAUGACCUGCGUGUCAAUGAAAAUGCCAUGUAAUUACUUUACUUUAUUGCUAACCAUUAGCCAUAGUAGUAGAAGUAACAGUUGUCGAGACAACUUCAUGAAGACACGAUGAUGAAGAUCAUGAUGAUGGAGAUCAUGGUGUCAUGCCGGUGACGAUGAUGAUCAUGGCGCCCCGAAGAUGGAGAUCAAAAGGAGGAAAAUGAUAUUGGCCAUAUCAUGUCACUAUUUGAUUGCAUGUGAUGUUUAUCAUGUUUUUACAUCUUAUUUGCUUAGAACGACGGUAGCUUAAAUAAGAUGAUCCCUCGCUAAAAUUUUAAGAUAGUGUUCCUCCUAACUGUGCACCGUUGCGAAGGUUCGUUUUUUCGAAGCACCAUGUGAUGAUCGGGUGCGAUAGAUCCUAACGUUCGAAUACAACGGGUGUAAGCCAGAAUUACACAUGCAAAACACUUAGGUUGACUUGACGAGCCUAGCAUGUACAUACAUGGCCUCGGAACACGAGAGACCGAAAGGUCGAACAUGUGUCGUAUAGUAGAUACGAUCAACAUGAAGAUGUUCACCGAUGAUGACUGUCCGUCUCACGUGAUGAUCGGACACGGCCUAGUUGACUCGGAUCAUGUAUCACUUAGAUGACUGGAGGGAUGUCUAUCUGAGUGGGAGUUCAUUAAAUAAUUUGAUUAGAUGAACUUAAUUAUCAUGAACAUAGUCUAAAAAUCUUUGCAAUAUGUCUUGUAGAUCAAAUGGCCCAUGCUAGUGUUGCCCUCAACUUCAACGCGUUCCUAGAGAAAACCAAGCUGAAGGACGAUGGUAGCAACUAUACAGACUGGGUCCGUAACUUGAGGAUCAUCCUCAUAGCUGCCAAGAAAGCAUAUGUCCUUGAAGCACCGCUAGGUGAAGCACCUGUUUUCCCAGCAACUCAAGAUGUUAUGAACGCCUGGCAGUCGCGUAGUGAUGAUUACUCCCUGGUUCAGUGCGGCAUGCUUUACAGCUUAGAAUCGGGGCUCCAAAAGCGUUUUGAGCAACACGGAGCAUAUGAGAUGUUCUAAGAGCUGAAAAUGGUUUUCCAAGCUCAUGCCCGAGUCGAGAGAUAUGAAGUCUCCGACAAGUUCUACAGUUGUAAGAUGGAGGAGAAUAGUUCUGUCAGCGAGCACAUACUCAAAAUGUCUGGGUUGCACAACCGCUUGUCUCAGCUGGGAGUUAAUCUCCCGGAUGACGCGGUCAUUGACAGAAUCCUUGACUAGCUUCCACCUAGCUACAAGAGCUUUGUGAUGAAUUUCAAUAUGCAAGGGAUGGAGAAAACCAUUCCUGAGGUAUAUUCAAUGCUGAAAUCAGCGGAGGUGGAGAUCAAAAAGGAACAUCCAGUGUUGAUGGUCAAUAAAACCACUAGUUUCAAGAAAGGCAAGGGUAAGAAAAACUUCAAGAAGGACGGCAAGGGAGUUGCCGCGCCCGGUAAGCCAGUUGCCGGGAAGAAGCCAAAGCAUGGACCCAAGCCUGAGACUGAGUGCUUUUAUUGCAAGAGAAACGGUCACUGGAAGCGGAACUGCCCCAAGUACUUAGCGGAUAAGAAGGCCGGCAAUACCAAAGGUAUAUAUGAUAUACAUGUUAUUGAUGCGUACCUUACAAGUACUCGUAGUAGCUCCUGGGUAUUUGAUACCGGUGCGGUUGCUCAUAUUUCUAACUCAAAACAGGAGCUACGGAAUAAGCGGAGACUGGUGAAGGACGAGGUGACGAUGCGCGUCGGGAAUGGUUCCAAGGUCGAUGUGAUCGUUGUCGGCACGCUACCUCUGCAUUUACCUACGGGAUUAGUUUUAAUCCUCAAUAUUGUUAUUUAGUGCCAGCUUUGAGCAUGAACAUUGUAUCUAGAUCUUGUUUAAUGCGAGAUGGCUACUCAUUUAAAUCUGAGAAUAAUGGUUGUUCUAUUUAUAUGAGAGAUAUGUUUUAUGGUCAUGCCCCGCUGGUCAAUGGUUUCUUCUUAUUGAAUCUCGAAUGUCAUGUUACACAUAUCCAUAGUGUGAAUACCAAAAGAUGUAAGGUUAAUAAUGAUAGUCCCACACUAGUACAAAAAGGACCUAUUGUCCCGGUUCGUAAGGCCCAUUUUGUCCCGGUUUUUGAACCGGGACUAAAGGGUCGUUACUAAUGCCCUAGGCCUUUAGUUCCAGUUCUUACACAAACCGGGACAGAUGGGCCUCCACGUGGCCAGUGCGGCGAGCCCAGGCAGGAGGGCCUUUAGUCCCGGUUGUUGGGGAACGUAGUCAUUUCAAAAAAAAUUCCAACGCACACACAUGAUCAUGGUGAUGCAUAGCAACGAGAGGGGAGAGUGUGUCAACGUACCCUCGUAGACCGAAAGCGGAAGCGUUAGCACAACGCGGUUGAUGUAGUCGUACGUCUUCACGAUCCGACCGAUCCAAGUACCGAACGCAUGGCACCUUCGAGUUCAGCACACGUUCAACUCGAUGACGUCCCGCGAGCUCCGAUCCAGCAAAGCUUCGCAGGAGAGUUUCGUCAGCACGACGGCGUGAUGAUGAUGAUGAUGAUGUUGCUACCGACGCAGGGCUUCGCCUAAGCACCACUACGAUAUGAUCGAGGUGGAUUAUGGUGGAGGGGGGCACCGCACACGGUUGGGAGAGAUCAACAGAUCAACUUGUGUGUCUCCAAGGGGUGCCCCCUCCCCGUAUAUAAAGGAGUGGAGGAGGGGGAGGAGGCCGGCCUCCCUAGGCGCGCCCCAUGAGGAGUCCUACUCCCACCGGGAGUAGGACUCCCCCCUUCCAAGUAGGAGUAGGAGAAGGGAAGGAAGGGAGAGAGGAAGAGAAGGAAAAAGGGGGGCGCCGCCCCCCUCCUUGUCCAAUUCGGACUAGAGGGGGAGGGGAGCGCGGCUGCCCUGGCCGCCCCUCCUCUUCUCCCACUAAGGCCCAUGAGGCCCAAUUAACUCCCCGGGGGGUUCCGGUAACCCCCGGGUACUCCGGUAUAUGCCCGAAACCUCCCGGAACCCUUCCGGUGUCCAAACAUAGUCGUCCAAUAUAUCGAUCUUUACGUCUCGACCAUUUCGAGACUCCUUGUCAUGUCCAUGAUCAUAUCUAGGACUCCGAACUACCUUCGGUACAUCAAAACACUAAAACUCAUAAUACCGAUCGUCACUGAACUUUAAGCGUGCGGACCCUACGGGUUCGAGAACAAUGUAGACAUGACCGAGACACAUCUCCGGUCAAUAACCAAUAGUGAAACCUAGAUGCUCAUAUUAUCUCCUACAUAUUCUACGAAGAUCUUUAUCGGUCAAACCGCAUAACAACAUACGUUGUUCCCUUUGUCAUCGGUAUGUUACUUGCCCGAGAUUCGAUCGUUGGUAUCUCAAUACCUAGUUCAAUCUCGUUACCGGCAAGUCUCUUUACUCGUUCUGUAAUACAUCAUCCCGCAACUAACUCAUUAGUUACAAUGCUUGCAAGGCUUAUAGUGACGUGCAUUACCGAGUGGGCCCAGAGAUACCUCCCCGACAAUCGGAGUGACAAAUCCUAAUCUCGAUAUACGCCAACUCAACAAGUACCUUCGGAGACACCUGUAGAACACCUUUAUAAUCACCCAGUUACGUUGUGACGUUUGGUAGCACACAAAGUGUUCCUCCCGUAAACGGGAGUUGCAUAAUCUCAUAGUCAUAGGAACAUGUAUAAGUCAUGAAGAAAGCAAUAGCAACAUACUAAACGAUCAAGUGCUAAGCUAACGGAAUGGGUCAAGUCAAUCACAUCAUUCUCCUAAUGAUGUGAUCCCGUUUAUCAAAUGACAACUCAUGUCUAUGGUUAGGAAACAUAACCAUCUUUGAUCAACGAGCUAGUCAAGUAGAGGCAUACUUGUGACACUAUGUUUGUCUAUGUAUUCACACAUGUAUUAUGUUUCCGGUUAAUACAAUUCUAGCAUGAAUAAUAAACAUUUAUCAUGAAAUAAGGAAAUAAAUAAUAACUUUAUUAUUGCCUCUAGGGCAUAUUUCCUUUAGUCUCCCACUUGCACUCGAGUCAAUAAUCUAGUUCACAUCUUUAUGUGAUUAGUUCACAUCUCCAUGUGACUAAUACCCAAAGGGUUUACUAGAGUCAAUAAUCUAGUUGACAUCGCUAUGUGAUUAACACCCAAAUGGUGAUCAAUUUUUGCUUGUGAGAAAAUUUUAGUCACGGGUCUGCAACAUUUUGAUCCGUAUGUAUUUCGCAAAUUUCUAUGUCUACAAUGCUCUGCACGGAGCUACUCUAGCUAAUUGCUCCCACUUUCAAUAUGUAUCUAGAUCGAGACUUAGAGUCAUCUAGAUUGAUGUAAAAAGCUUGCAUCGACGUAACUCUUUACGACGAACUCUUUUAUCACCUCCAUAACCGAGAAAUAUUUCCUUAGUCCUCUAAGGAUAAUUUUGACCGCUGUCCAGUGAUCUACUCCUAGAUCACUAUUGUACUCCCUUGCUAGAAUCAUGCUAAGGUAUACAAUAGGACUGGUAAACAGCAUAUCAUACUUUAUAGAACCUAUGACUGAGGCAUAGGGAAUGACUUUUCAUUCUCUUUCUAUUUCCUAUUGUGGUCGGGUUUUGAGUCUUUACUCAACUUCACACCUUGCAACACAGGCAAGAACUUCUUCUUUGACUGUUCCAUUUUGAACUACUUCAAAAUCUUGUCAAGGUAUGUACUCAUUGAAAAAAACUUAUCAAGCGUCUUGAUCCAUCUCUAUAGAUCUUGAUGCUUAAUACGUAAGCAGCUUCAUCGAGGUCUUUCUUUGAAAAACUCUUUUCAAACACUCCUUUAUGCUUUCCAGAAAAUUCUACAUUAUUUCCGAUCAACAAUAUGUCAUUCACAUAUAUUUAUCAGAAAUGCUGUAGUGCUCCCACUCACUUUCUUGUAAAUACAGGCUUCACCGCAAGUCUGUAUAAAACUAUAUGCUUUGAUCAACUCAUCAAAGCGUAUAUUCCAACUCCGAGAUGCUUGCACCAGUCCAUAGAUGGAUCGCUAGAGCUUGCACAUUUUGUUAGCACCUUUAGGAUCGGCAAAACCUUCUGGUUGCAUCAUAUACAACUCUUCUUUAAGAAAUCCAUUAAGGAAUGUAGUUUUGACAUCCAUUUGCCAGAUUUCAUAAAAUGUGGCAAUUUGCUAACAUGAUUCGGACAAACUUAAGCAUCGCUACGAGUGAGAAAAUCUCAUCGUAGUCAACACCUUGAACUUUGUCAAAAACCUUUUUCGACAAGUCUAGCUUUGUAGAUAGUAACACUACUAUCAGCGUCCGUCUUCCUCUUGAAGAUCCAUUUAUUUUCUAUGGCUUGCCGAUCAUCGGUCAAGUCAACCAAAGUCCACACUUUGUUCUCAUACAUGGAUCCCAUCUCAGAUUUCAUGGCCUCAAGCCAUUUCGCGGAAUCUGGGCUCAUCAUCGCUUCCUCAUAGUUCGUAGGUUCGUCAUGGUCUAGUAACAUGACUUCCAGAAAGGAUUACCGUACCACUCUGGUAUGGACCAUACUCUGAUUGUCCUACGAGGUUCGGUAGUAACUUGAUCUGAAGUUUCAUGAUCAUCAUCAUUAGCUUCCUCACUAAUUGGUGUAGAGAUCACUAGAACAGAUUUCUGUGAUGAACUACUUUCCAAUAAGGGAGGAGGUACAGUUACCUCAUCAAGUUCUACUUUCCUCCCACUCACUUCUUUCGAGAGAAACUCCUUCUCUAGAAAGGAUCCAUUCUUAGCAAUGAAUGUCUUGCCUUCGGAUCUGUGAUAGAAGGUGUACCCAACUGUCUCCUUUGGGUAUCCUAUGAAGACAUAUUUCUCCGAUUUGGGUUUGAGCUUAUCAGGAUGAAACUUUUUCACAUAAGCAUCGCAACCCCAAACUUUAAGAAACGACAACUUUGGUUUCUUGCCAAACCACUGUUCAUAUGGUGUCGUCUCAACGGAUUUAGAUGGUGCCCUAUUUAAUGUGAAUGCAGCUGUCUCUAAUGCAUAACCCCAAAAUGAUAGUGGUAAAUCGGUAAGAGACAUAAUAAAUUGCACCAUAUCUAAUAAAGUAUGGUUACGAUGUUCGGACACACUAUUACGCUGUGGUGUUCCAGGUGGCGUGAGUUGCGAAACUAUUCCGCACUGUUUUAAAUGAAGACCUAGCUCGUAACUCAAAUAUUCUCCUCCACGAUCAGAUCGUAGAAACUUUCUUUUCUUGUUACGAUGAUUUUCCACUUCACUCUGAAAUUCUUUGAACUUUUCAAAUGUUUCAGAUUUAUGUUUCAUCAAGUAGGUCUACCCAUAUCUGUUCAAAUCAUCUGUGAAGGUCAGAAAAUAACGAUACCCGCCGCGAGCCUCAACACUCAUCGGAUCGCAUACAUCAGUAUGUAUUAUUUCCAAUAAGUCAGUUGCUCGCUCCAAUGUUCCGGAGAACGGAGUUUUAGUCAUCUUACCCAUAAGGCAUGGUUCGCAAGCAUCAAGUGAUUCAUAAUCAAGUGAUUCGAAAAUCCAAUCAGCAUGGAGUUUCUUCAUGCGCUUUACACCAAUAUGACCUAAACGGCAAUGCCACAAAUAAGUUGCACUAUCAUUAUUAACUUUGCAUCUUUUGGCUUCAAUAUUAUGAAUAUGUGUAUUACUACGAUCGAGAUCCAACAAACCAUUUUCAUUGGGUGUAUGACCAUAGAAGGUUUUAUUCAUGUAAACAAAACAACAAUUAUUCUCUAACUUAAAUGAAUAACCGUAUUGCAAUAAACAUGAUCAAAUCAUAUUCAUGCUCAACGCAAACACCAAAUAACACUUAUUUAGGUUCAACACUAAUCCCGAAAGUAUAGGGAGUGUGCGAUGAUGAUCAUAUCAAUCUUGGAACCACUUCCAACACACAUCAUCACUUCACCCUUAACUAGUCUCUGUUCAUUCUGCAACUCCCGUUUUGAGUUACUAAUCUUAGCAACUGAACUAGUAUCAAAUACUGAGGGGUUUCUAUAAACACUAGUAAAGUACACAUCAAUAACAUGUAUAUCAAAUAUACCUUUGUUCACUUUGCCAUCCGUCUUAUCCGCCAAAUUCUUGGGGCAGUUCUGCUUCCAGUGACCAAUCCCUUUGCAGUAGAAGCACUUAGUCUCAGGCUUAGGUCCAGACUUGGGCUUCUUCAGUUGAGCAGUAACUUGCUUGCCGUUCUUCUUGAAGCUCCCCUUCUUCCCUUUGCCCUUUUUCUUGAAACUAGUGGUCUUAGGGCUGGAAUUCGAGCCGAGUCGAGCCAACUCAGCUCGACUCGCUAGAGCUCAUUUCGUUAACGAGCUAGCUCGACUCGACUCGUUAUUAUAACGAGCUCAAUUUCAAGAUUGGCUCGACUCGUAUAACUCGCGAGCUGGCUCGUUUAGCUUGUUAAGCUCAUUAAAGAUAUGAACAUAAAACCAUCAAAUAUUAUAGAAAUGAUUAUGUAUAUACUAAACAUAUAUAUCACUAAACAAUAGUAAUUUCCUUGUAACACAUGAGUCUCCUAAAUGGCUGGGCCUUCAACGGUUAGGCCUUGUGUUGUGCGCCUGGGACAUAGGGUGCUGAGUGGCUGAUUUUUUUUGUAUUGGGAGUGGCUAAUCUUUUGUACCGAGCCUAACGAGUUACACGAGAACUCGUGAGAUUGGCUCGUUUAACUUGGUCUAUAAACGAUCUUAAACUAAAGCUCGGCUUGACUCGUUAUUCUUCGAGUUCGAGUCGAUUCGAGCCGAGUCACGAGCUACUUAUUUAGCUCGCGAGCUUCGAGCUUUUUUUCCAGCCCUAAGUGGUCUUGUCAACCAUCAACACUUGAAGUUUUUCUUGAUUUCUACCUUCGCCGAUUUCUGCAUCGCGAAGAGCUCGGGAAUUACUUUCAUCACCCCUUGCAUAUUAUAGUUCAUCACUAAGUUCUAGUAACUUGGUGAUAGUGACUAGAGAACUUUGUCAAUUACUAUCUUAUCUGGAAGAUUAACUCCCACUUGAUUCAAGCAAUUGUAGUACCCAGACAAUCUGAGCACAUGCUCACUGGUUGAGCUAUUCUCCUCCAUCUUGUAGGCAAAGUACUUGUCAAAGGUCUCAUACCUCUCGACUCGGGCAUGAGUCUGAAAUACCAAUUUCAGCUCUUGGAACAUCUUAUAUGCUCUGUGGCGUUCAAAACGUUUUUGACGUCCCGAUUCUAAGCCGUAAAGCAUGGUGCACUAAACUAUCAAGUAGUCAUCAUACCGUGCAAUAGGUCUGUUACCUAGCAGUGCAUCAAGGACAUAAUACUUCUGUGCAGCAAUGAGGAUAACCCUCAGACCACGGAUCUAGUCCGCAUCAUUGCUACUAACAUCUUUCAACAUAGUUUUCUCUAGGAACAUAUCAUAAAUAAAACAGGGAACCUAUACGCGAGCAAUUGAUCUACAACAACAUAGACAAGCAAAAUACUAUCAGGUACUAAGUUCAUGAUAAAUUAAAGUUCAAUUAAUCAUAUUACUUAAGAACUCCCACGUAGAUAGACAUCCCUCUAAUCAUCUAAGUGAUCACGUGAUCCAAAUCAACUAAACCAUGUCCGAUCAUCACAUGAGAUGUAGUUUUCAAUGGUGAACAUCACUAUGUUGAUCAUAUCUACUAUAUGAUUCACGCUCGACCUUUCGGUCUCAGUGUUCCGAGGCCAUAUCUACAUAUGCUAGGCUCGUCAAGUUUAACCCGAGUAUUCUGCGUGUGUAAAACUGUCUUACACCCGUUGUAGAUGAACGUUGAGCUUAUCACACCCGAUCAUCACGUGGUGUCUCGGCACGACGAACUUUGGCAACGGUGCAUACUCAGGGAGAACACUUUUACCUUUAAAUUUAGUCAGAAAUCAUCUUAUAAUGCUACCGUCAAACAAAGCAGAAUAAGAUGCAUAAAGGAUAAACAUCACAUGCAAUCAAUAUAAGUGAUAUGAUAUGGCCAUCAUCAUCUUGUGCUUGUGAUCUCCAUCUCUGAAGCACCGUCAUGAUCACCAUCGUCACCGGUGCGACACCUUGAUCUCCAUGGUAGCAUCGUUGUCGUCUCGCCAAAUAUUGCUUCUACGACUAUCGCUACCGCUUAGUGAUAAAGUAAAGCAAUUACAGGGCGAUUGUAUUGCAUAUAAUAAAGCGACAACCAUAUGGCUCCUGCCAGUUGCCGAUAACUCCGUUAUAAAACAUGAUCAUCUCAUACAAUAAAAUAUAGCAUCAUGUCUUGACCAUAUCACAUCACAACAUGCCCUGCAAAAACAAGUUAGACGUCCUCCACUUUGUUGUUGCAAGUUUUACGUGGCUGCUACGGGCUGAGCAAGAACCGUUCUUACCUACGCAUCAAAACCACAAGGAUAGUUCGUCAAGUUAGUGAUGUUUUAACCUUCACAAGGACCGGGCGUAGCAACAGUCGGUUCAACUAAAGUUGGAGAAACUGACACCCGCCAGCCACCUGUGUGCAAAGCACGUCGGUAGAACCAGUCUCGCGUAAGCGUACGUGUAAUGUUGGUCCGGGCCGCUUCAUCCAACAAUACCACCGAACCAAAGUAUGACAUGCUGGUAAGCAGUAUGACUUGUAUCGCCCACAACUCACUUGUGUUCUACUCGUGCAUAUAACAUCUAUGAUAAACCUGGCUCGGAUGCCACUGUUGGGGAACGUAGUAAUUUCAAAAAAAAUUCCUACGCACACACAGGAUCAUGGUGAUGCAUAGCAAUGAGAGGGGAGAGUGUGUCCACUUACCCUCGUAGACCGAAAGCGGAAGCGUUAGCACAACGCGGUUGAUGUAGUCGUACGUCUUCACGAUCCGACCGAUCCAAGUACCGAACGCACGACACCUCCGAGUUCAGCACACGUUCAACUCGAUGACGUCCCGCGAGCUCCGAUCCAACAAAGCUUCGCAGGAGAGUUUAGUCAGCACGACGGCGUGAUGACGAUGAUGAUGUUGCUACCAACGCAGGGCUUCCCUAAGCACCGCUACGAUAUGAUCGAGGUGGAUUAUGGUGUAGGCGGCACCACACAUGGUUGGGAGAGAUCAACAUAUCAACUUGUGUGUCUCCAAGGGGUGCCCCCCUCCCUGUAUAUAAAGGAGUGGAGGAGGGGGAGGAGGCCGGCCUCCCUAGGCGCACCCCAUGAGGAGUCCUACUCCCACCAGGAGUAGGACUCCCCCUUCCAAGUAGGAGUAGGAGAAGGAAGGGAGAGAGGAAGAGAAGGAAAAGGGGGGCGCCCCCCCUCCUUGUCCAAUUCGGACUAGAGGGGGAGGGGGCGCGCGGCUGCCCUGGCCGCCCCUCCUCUUCUCCCACUAAGGCCUAUGAGGCCCAAUUAACUCCCCGGUGGGCUCCAGUAACCCUCCGGUACUCCGGUAUAUGCCCGAAACCUCCCGGAACCCUUCCGGUGUCCAAACAUAGUCGUCCAAUAUAUCGAUAUUUACGUCUCGACCAUUUUAAGACUCCUCGUCAUGUCCGUGAUCAUAUCCGGGACUCCGAACUACCUUUGGUACAUCAAAACACUAAAACUCAUAAUACCGAUCGUCACCGAACUUUAAGCGUGCGGACCCUACGGGUUCAAGAACAAUGUAGACAUGACCGGGACACAUCUCCGGUCAAUAACCAAUAGCGAAACCUGGAUGCUCAUAUUAGCUCCUACAUAUUCUAGGAAGAUCUUUAUCGGUCAAACUGCAUAACAACAUAUGUUGUUCCCUUUGUCAUCGGUAUGUUACUUGCCCGGGAUUCGAUCGUCGGUAUCUCAAUACCUAGUUCAAUCUCGUUACCGGCAAGUCUCUUUACUCGUUCCGUACUACAUCAUCCCGCAACUAACUCAUUAGUUACAAUGCUUGCAAGGCUUAUAGUGAUGUGCAUUACCAAGUGGGCCCAGAGAUACCUCCCCGACAAUCGGAGUGACAAAUCUUAAUCUCGAUAUACGCCAACUCAACAAGUACCUUCAGAGACACCUGUAGAGCACCUUUAUAAUCACCCAGUUACGUUGUGACGUUUGGUAGCACACAAAGUGUUCCUCCAGUAAACGGGAGUUGCAUAAUCUCAUAGUCAUAGGAACAUGUAUAAGUCAUGAAGAAAGCAAUAGCAACAUACUAAACGAUCAAGUGCUAUGCUAACGAAAUGGGUCAAGUCAAUCACAUCAUUCUCCUAAUGAUGUGAUCCCAUUUAUCAAAUGACAACUCAUGUCUAUGGUUAGGAAACAUAACCAUCUUUGAUCAACGAGCUAGUCAAGUAGAGGCAUACUAGUGACACCAUGUUUGUCUAUGUAUUCACACAUGUAUUAUGUUUCCGGUUAAUACAAUUUUAGCAUGAAUAAUAAACAUUUAUCAUGAAAUAAGGAAAUAAAUAAUAACUUUAUUAUUGCCUCUAGGGCAUAUUUCCUUCACCGGUUGGUGGCACCAACCGGGACCAAUAGGCAUCCACGCGUUAGCAGCUGGCAGGAGCUGAGGUUUUUGUUUUUUUCUUCUGAAAGGGGGUGGUUUAGGGGGUAAUUUAGGGUGUGUUAGCUAGCUAACAGAGAGAAGUGUCCUCUCUUAUUUCCGUGCUUGGUUUACCAACGCUACUGCUAUGCCUAAACAUGGCUUAGAUUAAAGUGAAGGCAACGUGUGGUGCAUGUCAAAAGUAAUACUAAUCGUAACUUGAUCAAGUUUGAAUUAGUACUACUUUCGACAUGCACCACAUGCUUGGUGCCUUCACUUCAAUCCAAUCCAUGUUCAUUUCACCCACCGAUAUAUAAUAACUCCUCAUGCCCGCAUCAUGCAUCAUCAUAAUAAUAAGUCCUACUAAUCAUCACCAUACAACUUCUACUCGUUAUUAAUAACAAGUCAUAAGAUCAUCAUCCUCAUAGUCAUCGAACGAACCCUACUUAAUUGUUCUAGGCACAUGAUCAUCAGUAUUAGGUGGGACCUAAAUACCCUCUUUAAGGUAAAAUAGCAUAAAACAAUAUAGACCCUGACUCUCCAUUAUGGAGAAUGGAGAUCAUCCUGUCUCCAAUUCUUGCGCUUCGCUUCCUUUUGCUUCAGAGAACCUCCUUACGACUGUCCAUACAUUUUUUCCAUUCCUUGAUUUUCAUGUCUCCACUUCUUUUAGAAAUCCGGUAUGGACAGUUGAGAUUCGUAGGAUGACCUGGACGUAUGUUCAAAACAUCAAGGCGACCACUCUGAUACAUCAGAUGAGGCACACAACCAUUCGGGAUUUCCUUUUGAAAAACAUAUAGUAAUAACUUCGUAGUUAGCAAUGUAGUUAAGUUUUAAAAGAAUUUAUGCAAAAGAUGCACGAAUGUCGUAAUACUAAAAAAUCUUACCAUGGCAUCUCCAUGGAUGUUACCGUAGUUCAACACGUGCACUAGUGGCACGUAUUGACCAUAAUGUGGAGGAGUUUUAUAAUAGAUAUUGUAAUUCUCAAGAUCAGUACAAAAUGCGACCAGAUGAUUUUUCUCCUUAUAAGUUAACUCAGAGCCAUCGGUGUAGUAGGUUAUGUCUACGUACCAUGUUCCGCACAUUGUUUGAACAAUCAAAAUAAGCUGUCAAUGGAAAUAAGUUGUCAACUAUUUUGAAAUGAACAAUAUAAAUUAGUUAAUAACUAUGUUUGAGAAACUCACAUAGCGGUAGAAUUGGAGGCGUAUCAACAAGGACCCAAAUGUACAUAUUGUCUUGGUCGAUGUCAGGAUCACCAAGAUCCAUGAUGACAAGCAUACCCUCAUCAAAAUCAUACAUCUUGCAAAAUGCUUCCCAAUUUUUGCAACCAAAAUGGGUUACGCUCUCAGAAUUAUACAGAUUUACUUCAAAAUCCAUAUCAUGAUGGGUCCUUAGGUGAAUUUUCUUUGUUUCCAUACUUUCAUGGUCUUCAAAACCCAUCCUCUCCAAGACAUAGCGUCUUGCAUGGCAUGGGAUAAGCUAAUCGAAUUGUAAAAGAUGAAAAUUACACGUUGAAAUAGUUGAAGUCGUGCUUAAUUACGAAAAAAUAACACUUGUCGUCGUUGCGUACCGUUUCAACAUCGAAGGUCUCCUCCAGCUUAAUGCUGAAGCGCCGACCUUCGUCCAGGUGAGGCCUGUCGCACAGACCUCGGUUUCCGUGGCACCAGUCGCACUCCCCCGGGAGACUUUCGUCGUCCGAGUACGACAUUUCCUAUGUUCAUAAUUCAAAUAUUAAACUUGUACAAUUAAAUAUAUGUACUAAAAAACCUAAAUUAGAUCAUUAUUAUUCAACACGGGUUGACUAUCGGUCUGUCGAGUCUUUUCUUGAAAACUCUCAGCUCACGUGGUGUACAUAUUCGACCGUUGGUGAUGGUAGCUCCUCCUUUCAUCCCCGAGUGCAUUACACCAAGUUGUCUAGCACACGGGAAUGAAGGAGAAGCUACCCCCACAACAACAGUUGGGAUUCUUCGUCCUCUCAUAUAUGGUGGAGACUCGACAGACUUAAAGUCAACCCAAAAUAUAGUUUAAUUAUCUUUCUAAAAAAGGACAUAUCGUCCUCUCAUAUAUAGGACUCAUAUUGACAUGGAGAUUUGGCUGGUCUCACCUCGAGGUCGGAGGGGGGUCGGUGAUGGGGACGACGGCGGGGAUGAUGGAGGGGCUCCUAGAUUUCUGGGAAAACAAAAACCCUAUAAGUUAUCAACUAAUCAAAUGCAUAUGCCUUGCAUAGUGCUCUACAAUUUUAGCAUUCAAAGUAGGAGUACUUUUCCAAUUUGAGCAUUCAAUAAGCAAAACCAAAUCGUAAAAUAAAGUAGUAUUCAAAUUAGCACACAUUCAAUUAUAAGCAAAACUACAUCAUCUCUUGCGUCCGUACAUCGUCAAAUAUUAUCACUAAUACACCUUGAAUACUAUCAUACAUAUAGCAUCGCUAAUACAGCUAGAACCGUAGCGCCCGACGGGUAUCGGCGCGGGCGGUGGACACCCAAAGAGAAGGAACCAUCACAGGAUCAUAGGUCCAGUGAGAUCCCUGAAGAACCUGCCAGGUAUUGUCAAACCUGCCCUCCAACGCAACCAUGUAGCGACGGACGUGCUCGUCCUCCUCGCUGACAUGGUGACGUACCACCUCCGCGGUGUCCGAAAGCCUCGUCACCGUCACUGGCCCACGUGACCUCCACCAAACAAGAAUCGGGUCAACGACGGGCUGACUCCUCACCAACCUACACCCCCCGGAAGGUAGCACCUCCCAAUACCAUCCCGGCGGAGCCCAGUCCCGGACAUGGCCCCUCUGAUCACGCCGGCCUCCUCCGCCGAGUCGACGACGAGGAUGCGGGAUAGGCAUUGUCGACGUCGAUGCGGGAAUAAUUGCUUGAACUAAAAAAUAAACUAGUUCUAUUAAUUUUCUUGCUCAAAAUAAACUACUUCUAUAUAUAGUAAAAUAAAGUAGUUUUCUUAAAUCAACUAGUUCAGCUACUACUAAGCACUUAAUUACUAUAAAUAAAAUAAAGUAGUACUUACUAAAAAUAAACUACUUCUAUAUAUAGUAAAAUAAAGUAGUUUUAUUAAAUCAACUAGUUCAACUACUAAGCACUUACUAUAAAUAAAAUAAAGUAGAACUUACUAAAAAUAAACUACUUCUAUAUAUAGUAAAAUAAAGUAGUUUUAUUAAAUCAACUAGUUCAACUACUAAUUAAGCACUUACUAUAAAUAAAAUAAAGUAGUACUUACUAAAAAUAAACUACUUCUAUAGUAAAAUAAAGUAGUUUUAUUAAAUCAACUAGUUCAACUACUAAGCACUUACUAUAAAUAAAAUAAAGUAGUACUUACUAAAAAUAAACUAGUUUAACUAGUUCUAUUAUUAAUCGACCCCCCCUCAUGUCAAAGUUAUCGGGGAGGGGGUAUAUCGAGAAUGAAAGUGCGUUAUAUCAACUAGAGGGGGGUGAAUAGGCGAUUUUUAUAAAUUCUUCACUCAGGAAUUUGUGGGUGAGGAAAUUCCUUAGCGAAGAACUACUUGCAGCGGAAUAAGUACUCAAAAGUAUGCAUAGCAGAACACAAGCAUAGUCAUCAUGAUGAAAUGAAAACAAGCACAGAGUACAGAAAGUGUAAACACAGGAUAACACAGGAUGAAGACAAACAGACUGAGGAAAUUGAACUGAGGAAAUUGAGAAAGUCUUCAGUCAAAGUCUUCAAACACAGAUAUGAACAAUUGCACAACACAGGAAUGAGGAAAUGAAAGAGUUGAGGAAAUAGAACCAGUUGCCUUGGUGAAGACAAUGAUUUGGUAGACCAGUUCCAACUGAUGUCUCAGUUGUACGUCUGGUUGGAGCGGCUAGUAUUUAAACCUGAGUGUUGGAAAUAUGCCCUAGAGGCAAUAAUAAAUGGUUAUUAUUAUAUUUCUUUGUUCAUGGUAAUUGUCUAUUAUUCAUGCUAUAAUUGUACUGUCAUAGACCACAACCUGUCCCUAGUAAGCCUCUAGUUGACUAGCUCGUUGAUCAACAGAUAGUCAUGGUUUCCUGACUAUGGACAUUGGAUGUCAUUGAUAACGGGAUCACAUCAUUAGGAGAAUGAUGUGAUGGACAAGACCCAACUUAAGCAUAGCAUAAAAGAUCGUGUAGUUUCGUUUGCUAGAGCUUUUCCAAUGUCAAGUAUCUUUUCCUUAGACCAUGAGAUCGUGCAACUCCCGGAUACCGUAGGAGUGCUUUGGGUGUGCCAAACGUCACAACGUAACUGGGUGACUAUAAAGGUGCAUUACGGGUAUCUCCGAAAGUGUCUGUUGGGUUGGCACAGAUCGAGACUGGGAUUUGUCACUCCGUGUAAACGGAGAGGUAUCUCUGGGCCCACUCGGUAAUGCAUCAUCAUAAUGAGCUCAAUGUGACUAAGGCGUUAGUCACGGGAUCAUGCAUUGCGGUACGAGUAAAGAGACUUGCCGGUAACGAGAUUGAACAAGGUAUUGGGAUACCGACGAUCGAAUCUCGGGCAAGUAACAUACCGAUUGACAAAGGGAAUUGCAUACAGAUUGAUUGAAUCCUCGACACCGUGGUUCAUCCGAUGAUAUCAUCGUGGAACAUGUGGGAGCCAACAUGGGUAUCCAGAUCCCGCUGUUGGUUAUUGACCGGAGAGGCGUCUCGGUCAUGUCUGCAUGUCUCCCGAACCCGUAGGGUCUACACACUUAAGGUCCGGUGACGCUAGGGUUGUAGAGAUAUAUGUAUGCGGAAACCCGAAAGUUGUUCGGAGUCCCGGAUGAGAUCCCGGACGUCACGAGAGGUUCCAGAAUGGUCCGGAGGUAAAGAUUUAUAUAUGGGAAGUCUUAUUUUGGUCGCCGGAAAAGUUUCGCGCUUUAUCGGUAUUGUACCGGGAGUGCCGAAAGGGGUCCGGGGGUCCACCAGCCCCGGGGGGCCACAUGGGCUGUAAGGGGUGCGCCUUGGCCUAUAUGGGCCAAGGGCACCAGCCCCAAGAGGCCCAUGCGCAAGAGAUAAGAAAAAGGGGAGAGUCCUAAAGGGGGAAGGCACCUCCGAGGUGCCUUGGGGGGGAAGGACUCCCCCCUGGCCGCACCCUUCCUUGGAGGAAGGGGCAAGGCUGCGCCCCCCCCUCUCCCUUGGCCCUAUAUAUAGUGGGGGGAAGGAAGGGCAGCAAGAUCUAAGCCUUGGGCGCCUCCCUCCUCCCCUGCAACACCUCUCUCUCUCUCUCUCGCAGAAGCUUGCGAAGCCCUGCCGGAGACCCGCUACAUCCACCACCACGCCGUCGUGCUGUUGGAUCUCCAUCAACCUCUCCUCCCCCCUUGCUGGAUCAAGAAGGAGGAGACGUCGCUGCACCGUACGUGUGUUGAACGCGGAGGUGCCGUACGUUCGGCACUCGGUCAUCGGUGAUUUGGAUCACGGCGAGUACGACUCCGUCAUCCACGUUCAUUGGAACGCUUCCGCUCGCGAUCUACAAGGGUAUGUAGAUGCACUCCCUUCCCCUCGUUGCUAGUAGAUUCCAUAGAUGCAUCUUGGUGAGCGUAGAAUUUUUUUAAAAUUAUGCUACGAUUCCCAACAGUGGCAUCAUGAGCCAGGUCUAUGCGUAGUUACUAUGCACGAGUAGAACACAAAGCAGUUGUGGGCGUUGAGUUUGCCAAUUCUUCUUGCCGCUACUAGUCUUUUCUUGUUUCGGCGGCAUUGUAGGAUGAAGCGGCCCGGACCGACCUUACACGUACUCUUACGUGAGACAGGUUCCACCGACUGACAUGCACUAGAUGCAUAAGGUGGCUAGCGGGUGGUUGUCUCUCCUACUUUAGUCGGAACGGAUUCGAUGAAAAGGGUCCUUAUGAAGGGUAAAUAGAAAUUGGCAAAUCACGUUGUGGUCAUACGUAGGUAAGAAACGUUCUUGCUAGAAACCAACAAACCACGUAAAAACUUGCAACAACAAUUAGAGGACGUCUAACUUGUUUUUGCAGCAAGUGCUAUGUGAUGUGAUAUGGCCAGAAGAUGUGAUGAAUGAUAUAUGUGAUGUAUGAGAUUGAUCAUAUUCUUGUAAUAGGAAUCACGACUUGCAUGUCGAUGAGUAUGACAACCGGUAGGAGCCAUAGGAGUUGUCUUUAUUAUUUUGUAUGACCUGCGUGUCAUUGAAUAACGCCAUGUAAAUUACUUUACUUUAUUGCUAAGCGCGUUAGCCAUAGAAGUAGAAGUAAUCGUUGGCGUGACCACUUCAUGAAGACACAAUGAUGGAGAUCAUGAUGAUGGAGAUCAUGGUGUCAUGCCGGUGACAAAGAUGAUCAUGGUGCCCCAAAGAUGGAGAUCAAAGGAGCAUAAUGAUAUUGGCCAUAUCAUGUCACUAUUUGAUUGCAUGUGAUGUUUAUCAUGUUUUUGCAUCUUAUUUGCUUAGAACGACGGUAGCAAGUAGGAUGAUCCCUUAUAAUAAUUUCAAGAAAGUGUUCACCCUAACUGUGCACCGUUGCGAAGGUUCGUCGUUUCGAAGCACCACGUGAUGAUCGGGUGUGAUAGAUUCUUACGUUCGAAUACAACGGGUGUUGACGAGCCUAGCAUGUACAGACAUGGCCUCGGCACACACGCAAUACACUUAGGUUGACUUGACGAGCCUAGCAUGUACAGACAUGGCCUCGGAACACGGAGGACCGAAAGGUCGAGCAUGAGUCGUAUAGAAGAUACGAUCAACAUGGAGAUGUUCACCGAUCUUGACUAGUCCGUCUCACGUGAUGAUCGGACACGGCCUAGUUAAACUCGGAUCAUGUUUCACUUAGAUGACUAGAGGGAUGUCUAUCUGAGUGGGAGUUCAUAAUCAGAUGAACUUCAUUAUCAUGAACAUAGUCAAAAAGGUAUUUGCAAAUUAUGUCAUAGCUUGCGCUUUAGUUCUACUGGUUAAGAUAUGUUCCUAGAAAAAAUUUAGUUGAAACUUGGUAGUAGCAAUUAUGCGGACUGGGUCCGUAAACUGAGGAUUGUCCUCAUUACUGCACAGAAGGCUUAUGUCCUUAAUGCACCGCUCGGUGUGCUGAACCUCAGCGUCGUCUGUAGAUUUUACAAAACAUCUGACAUACACGUUUUGAUGACUACGUGAUAGUUCAGUGCGGUUUAGAAUUGUGGCACCAAAGACGUUUUUGAAACGUCGCAGAACAUGAGAGAUGUUCCGAAGACUGAAAUUGGGAUUUCAGACUAGUGCCCACGUCAAGAGGUAUGAGACCUCUGACAAGUUUCUUAAGCCUGCAAACUAAGGGAGAAAAGCUCAAUCGUUGAGCGUGUGCUCAGAUUGCCUGAGUGCCACAAUCGCUUGAAUCGAGUGGGAGUUAAUCUCCCAGAUGAGAUAGUGAUAGUUCUCCAUAGUCACUGCCACCAAGCUAGUAGAGCUUCGUGAUGAACUAUAACAUAUCAAGGACAAUUAUGAUGAUCCUUGAGCUAUCCGCGAUGUUUGACACCGCGAGAGUAGAAAUCAAGAAGGAGCAUCAAUUGUUGAUGGUUAGUAAAACCACUAGUUUAAGAAGGGCAAGGGAAAAAGGGAUACUUCAUGAAACAGCAAGUCGUUUGCUGCUCUAGUGAAGAAUCCCAAGGUUGAACCCAAACCCGAGACUAAGUGCUUCUGUAUUGAGAGGAACGGUCACUAAAGCAGUACUACCCUAGAUACUUGGUAGAUGAGAAGGCAGGCAAGGUCGACAGAAGUAUAUUGGAUAUACGUUAUAUGAAUGUGUACUUUACUAGUACUCCUAGCAGCACCAGGGUAUUAGAUACUGGUUCGGUUGCUAAGUGUUAGUAACUCGAAAUAAAAGCUGCGGAAUAAAUGGAGACUAGCUAAAGGUGAGAUGACGAUAUGUGUUGGAAGUGUUUCCAAGGUUGAUGUGAUCAAGCAUCGCAUGCUCCCUCUACCAUCGAGAUUUGGUGUUUGCGUUGAACAUGAUUGGAUUAUGUUUACCGCAAAACGGUUAUUCAUUUAAGGAGAAUAAUGGUUACUCUGUUUAUUUGAAUAAUACCUUCAAUGGUCUUGCACCUAAAAUGAAUCUCGAUCGUAUUGAUACACAUGUUCGUGCCAAAAGAUAUAAAAUAGUAAUGAUAGUACCACAUACUUGUGGCACUGCAAUUUGAGUCAUAUUGGUAUAGAACGCAUAAGAAGCUCCAUGUAGAUGGAUCUUUGGACUCAGUCAUUUUUGAAAAGAUUGAGACAUGCGAACCAUGUCUAUUGGUAUAUAUGCAUGAAGAAACUCCAUGCAGAUGGAUCGUUUGGACUCACUUGAUUUUGAAUCACUUGAGACAUGCAAAUCAUACCACAUGGGCAAGAUGACUGAAAGGCCUCGUUUUCAGUAAGAUGGAACAAGAGAGCAACUUAUUGGAAGUAAUACAUUUUGAUGUAUGCAGUCCAAUGAGUGCUGAGGCAUGCAGUGGAUAUCGUUGUGUUCUUACUUCACAGAUGAUUUGAGUAGAUGCUGAGUGUAUUUACUUGAUGAAACACAAGUCUGAAUUAUUGAAAUGUUCAAGUAAUUUCAGAGUGAAGUUGAAGAUCAUCGUGACAAGAGGAUAAAAUGUCUGUGAUAUGAUCAUAGAGAUGAGUAUCUGAGUUACGAGUUUGGCACACAAUUGAGACAUUGUGAAAAGUGUUUCACAAUUAAUACCGCCUGGAACACCAUAGUGUGAUGGUGUGUCUGAACAUCAUAACUGCACCCUAUUGGAUAUGGUGCAUACCAUGAUGUUUCUUAUCAAAUUUACCACUAUCGUUUAUGGGUUAGGCAUUAGAGACAACCGCAUUCACUUUAAAAGGGGCACCACGCAAUUCCGUUGAGACGACACCGUUUAUAGAAACCUAAGUUGUCGUUUCUUAAAAGUUUGGGGCUGCGAUGCUUAUGUGAAAAAGUUUCAGGUGAUAAGCUCGAACCCAAAGCGGAUAAAUGCAUCUUCAUAGAAUACCCAAAAACAGUUGGGUAUACCUCCUAUUUCAGAUCUGGAAGCAAAAGUAAUUGCUUCUAGAAACGAGUCCUUUCUCGAGGAAAAGUUUCUCUCGAAAGAAUUGAGUGGGAGGAUGGUGGAGACUUGAUAAGGUUAUUGAACCGUCGCUUCAACUAGUGUGUAGCAGGGCACAGGAAGUUGUUCCUGUGGCACCUACACCAAUUGAAGUGGAAGCUUAUGAUAGUGAUCAUGAAACUUCGGAUCAAUUCACUACCAAACCUCGUAGGACGACGAGGAUGCGCACUACUUCAGAGUAAUGUGUGAUCCUGUCUUGGAAGUCAUGUUGCUAGACAACAAUGAACCUACGAGCUAUGGAGAAGCAAUGGUGGGCCCAUAUUCCGAUGAAUGGCUCGAGGCCAUGAAAUCCGAGAUAGAAUCCAUGUAUCAGAACAAAGCAUGGACUUUGGUGAACUUGCCCGAUGAUCGGCAAGCCAUUGAGAUAAAUGGAUCUUUAAGAAGAAGACGGACAUGGACGGUAAUGUUACCUUCUAUGAAGCUCGACUUGUGGCAAAGAGUAUUUUCACAAGUUCAAGGAGUUGACUACGAUGAGUUUUUCUCAUCCGUAGCGAUGCUUAGGUCCGUCGGAAUCAUGUUAGCAUUAACUACAUUUAUGAAAUCUGGCAGAUGGAUGUCAAAACAAGUUUCCUUACCAGUCUUCGUAAGGAAAGGUUGUAUGUGAUACAAUCAGAAAGGUUUUGUCGAUCCUAAGGAUGCUAAAAGGUAUGCUAGCUCCAGCGAUCCUUCCAUGGAUCAGAGCAAGCAUCUCGGAGUCAGAAUAUACGCUUUGAUGGGGUGAUCAAAGUUUUUGGGUUUAUACAAAGUUUGUUAGAAACUUGUAUUUACAAUAAAGUGAGUGGGAGCGCUACAACAUUUCUGAUAAGUAUAUGUGAAUGACAUAUUGUUGAUCCGAAAUGAUGUAAAAUUUCUGGAAAGCAUAAAGGGUUGUUUGAAAGGAGUUUUUCAAAGGAAGACCUGGAUAAAGCUUCUUACAUAUUGGGCAUCAAUAUCCAUAGAGAUAGAUCAAGACGCCUGAUGAUACUUUCAAAAGACAGCACACCUUGACAUGAUUUUGAAAGAGUUCAAAAUAGAUCAGCAAAGAAGGAGUUCUUGGCUGUGUUACAAGGUGUGAGUAUUGAGUGAGACUCAAGACCUGACCACAGCAGAAGAUAGAGAAAGGACGAAGGUCGUCCCCUAUGCUUUAGACGUAGGCUCUAUAGUAUGCUAUGCUGUGUACCGCACAUGUAGUGUGCCUUGCCAUGAGUUGGUCAAGGGGGUACAAUGGUGAUCCGGAAAGGAUCUCAUGACAGCGGUCGAACUUAUCCUUAGUACCUAGUGGAUUAAGGAAUUUUUCUCGAUUAUGGAGGUGGAAAGGAGUUCGUCGUAAAGGGUUACGUCGAUGCGAACUUUGACACUAAUCCGGAUAACUCUGAGUAGUAAACCGGAUUCGUAUAGUAGAGCAAUUAUUUGAAAUGGCUCCAAAUAGCGCGUGGUAGCAUCCACAAGAUGACAUAGAUGUUCGUAAAGCACACGGUUCUGAAAGGUUCAGACCCGUUGACUAAUAAUCUCUCUCACAAGCAUAACAUGACCAAACCAGAACACAUUGAGUGAUAAUCACAUAGUGAUGUGAACUAGAUUGUUGACUCUAGUAAACUCUUUUGAUGUUGGUCACAUGGUGAUGUGACCAGUGAGUGGUAAUCACAUGGUGAUGUGAACUAGAUUAUUGACUCUAGUGCAAGUGGGAGAUUGUUGGAAAUAUGCCCUAGAGGCAAUAAUAAAUGGUUAUUAUUAUAUUUCUUUGUUCAUGCUAAUUGUCUAUUAUUCAUGCUAUAAUUGUAUUGUCCGGAAAACAUAAUACAUGUGUGAAUACAUAGACCACAACCUGUCCCUAGUAAGCCUCUAGUUGACUAGCUCGUUCAUCAACAGAUAGUCAUGGUUUCCUGACUAUGGACAUUGGAUGUCAUUGAUAACGGGAUCACAUCAUUAGGAGAAUGAUGUGAUGGACAAGACCCAACUUAAGCAUAGCAUAAACGAUCGUGUAGUUUCGUUUCCUAGAGCUUUUCCAAUGUCAAGUAUCUUUUCCUUAGACCAUGAGAUCGUGCAACUCCCGGAUACCGUAGGAGUGCUUUGGGUGUGCCAAACGUCACAACGUAACUGGGUGACUAUAAAGGUGCAUUACGGGUAUCUCCGAAAGUGUCUGUUGGGUUGGCACGGAUCGAGACUGGGAUUUGUCACUCCGUGUAAACGGAGAGGUAUCUCUGGGCCCACUCGGUAAUGCAUCAUCAUAAUGAGCUCAAUGUGACUAAGGCGUUAGUCACGGGAUCAUGCAUUGCGGUACGAGUAAAGAGACUUGCCGGUAACGAGAUUGAACAAGGUAUUGGGAUACCGACGAUCGAAUCUCGGGCAAGUAACAUACCGUUUGACAAAGGGAAUUGCAUACGGAUUGAUUGAAUCCUCGACACCGUGGUUCAUCCGAUGAUAUCAUCGUGGAACAUGUGGGAGCCAACAUGGGUAUCCAGAUCCCGCUGUUGGUUAUUGACCGGAGAGGCAUCUUGGUCAUGUCUGCAUGUCUCCCGAACCCGUAGGGUCUACACACUUAAGGUCCGGUGACGCUAGGGUUGUAGAGAUAUAUGUAUGCGGAAACCCGAAAGUUGUUCGGAGUCCCGGAUGAGAUCCCGGAUGUCACGAGAGGUUCCGGAAUGGUCCGGAGGUAAAGAUUUAUAUAUGGGAAGUCUUAUUUUGGUCGCCGGAAAAGUUUCGCGCUUUAUCGGUAUUGUACCGGGAGUGCCGAAAGGGGUCCGGGGGUCCACCAAGGGGGUCCACCAGCCCCGGGGGGGCACAUGGGCUGUAAGGGGUGCGCCUUGGCCUAUAUGGGCCAAGGGCACCAGCCCCAAGAGGCCCAUGCGCAAGAGAUAAGAAAAAGGGGAGAGUCCUAAAGGGGGAAGGCACCUCCGAGGUGCCUUGGGGAGGAAGGACUCCCCCCUGGCCGCACCCUUCCUUGGAGGAAGGGGCAAGGCUGCGCCCCCCCCUCUCCCUUGGCCCUAUAUAUAGUGGGGGGAAGGAAGGGCAGCAAGAUCUAAGCCUUGGGCGCCUCCCUCCUCCCCUGCAACACCUCUCUCUCUCUCGCAGAAGCUUGCGAAGCCCUGCCGGAGACCCGCUACAUCCACCACCACGCCGUCGUGCUGUUGGAUCUCCAUCAACCUCUCCUCCCCCCUUGCUGGAUCAAGAAGGAGGAGACGUCGCUGCACCGUACGUUCGGCACUCGGUCAUCGGUGAUUUGGAUCACGGCGAGUACGACUCCGUCAUCCACGUUCAUUGGAACGCUUCCGCUCGCGAUCUACAAGGGUAUGUAGAUGCACUCCCUUCCCCUCGUUGCUAGUAGACCCCAUAGAUGCAUCUUGGUGAGCGUAGAAAUUUUUUAAAAUUAUGCUACGAUUCCCAACACUGAGGACACCCAGUCCCGGACACACAGUCCUCACCGUAUUCUCCUUGAACUAAGGUCACAGACCUCGUCCAAUCACUCGUGGUAACUCUUCAGGUGACUUCCGAACCUUCACAAACUCGGUCACUCGGCAAUCCACAAUUUCCUCUUGGAUGCUCUAGACCAUGACGCCUAACCGUCUGGAAGAAGCACAGUCUUCAAAGGUAACAAGCGUCGGAUCCACGCAGGAUCAAUCUCUUCAGUGAUGCUCAAUCACUUUGGGUUUGUAGGUGUUUGGGUUUGGGGUUUUUCCUCACUUGAUAAUUUUCGCUCAAAGUCCUCGGAGGAUGGGAUGCUCUCAAAUGACAAGUGUCAGUUUCUCUCGGAGCAGCCAACCAGCUAGUGGUUGUAGGGGGCGGCUAUUUAUAGCCUAGGGAGCAGCCCGCAUGAUAAGACAUAAAUGCCCUUCAAUCAUAUGACCGUUAGGUGGGUAGAUAUUUUGGGAUAGCUGGCGCAUAACACAGCAACGGUCGGAAAUUUGAGGUUCAAAUUCCUCAGGGCUAUCAUGUUCCUCACUGUGUGGGCAAUCCGCACUGGCGAAUUCCUAACUCCUCAGUCAGAACAAAUUCCUCAGAGACCAGAAGAACUUCGUCUCUGUCACUGAAGAAUAUGACUGAACUGUAUGAGAUUUCCAAUGGCUUCACUCGAAGGUAUUGGUAGGUGUAGGAUUUUGAGUUGAGCAUCACAUGGAAAUUUUUUCCUUAGUAUUUCCUCGACCCCCUUUAACGGUACGGUGUUUCCUAUGACUCAAGAAAGACAAAAUGAAACUACGAAAACAAAAGUCUUCACGCUUCAUAUUCCUCAAAUGAAUACCAAGUCUUCAAGGUCACACCAAUUUCUUCACUUUCAAAGUCUUCAGAAAGUCUUCAGAAAUCCAAAGUCUUCAGUCGAAGAACUUCAUUUUUAGGGGUCGACUUUCUCUGUAAAUAUCAAACUCCUCAUAGACUUAUAGACCUGUGUACACUCAUAAACACAUUAGUCCCUUAACCUAUAAGUCUUCAAUACACCAAAAUCACUAAGGGGCACUAGAUGCACUUAAAAUCUCCCCCUUUUUGGUGAUUGAUGACAAUAUAGGUUAAGUUUUCAACGGGGAUAAACAUAUGAAGUGUAAAUACUGAUAUUGAGGAAUUUGAUUGCAAGAUAUAGAAGAACUCCCCCUGAAGAUGUGCAUAGUGAGGAAUUUGCUUUUGAAGCAAUGCACACUUGAAGAGUUGAAUCAUGGAGAUCUCCCCCUAUAUCUUGUAAUUCAUACACGCAUUUGACAUAAUAUAUGAAGAAUUUGAAAUGCAUGAUGAAAUAUGGUGACUGAUGUAAUUCAGCAUGUGCGCAAUAACAUUAACGAGGAAUGCAGAAGAAACAGCAAAAGUAUCAGGUCACCAUAGAGUUUAAGUUUACAACUUGAUCCAGCAAAGUCUUCAAAAGAACGAGAGUUGCAACUUAAAAAACGCCCAUUUAAGAUAGACCCGCUUGAAGACUAAAUCAAAUUUCUCCCCCUUUGUCAUCAAAUGACCAAAAGGGUCGAAAAUGAGGACUAGCGCCCUUGAAGAAUAUCAAGGUGAUGAAGGAGCGUCAGCGUUGUUGGGGUCGGUUGUUUGAGUAGGGCCUGCCGCAGUGUCGUCCAAAUCUUCAUGUUCAUCAGUGUCACGUGAUGAAGAAUAGGAGCUGGCCACCAAGGAAGGAACCUUGACCUUCUUGUACUUCUUCGGAGGAGGUGCAGCCCAGUCAAGAUCGUCCUUGAGACCCAUUGUCUUCAGAUCUUCUUCACUAUAGACUUGAGACAGAACAUCCCAGGUGCGGUUGAGGAUUUCAUGAAGGUAGUAGUGGUUUUUCUUCACUGCAUUGUGGGUAGCAGUCAUGUUGUGAAGAAUUGAACCAAACUAACGCUUGACCCAUUUAUGAUUGCGAUCAACCUUCUGGUGAAGACUGAGGAGAAGCUCACGGUCAGUCAUCACCCUGGGUGCUGUGCCUUGAGAAUUUUGCUUGGGUGCGUUGGCGGCAGACUCAUGGGUGGCAGAGUCAUCAUUGGUGGAGUAGGAUGCAGCCUUGUGAAAUUGUCCAUCCAGUGGACGAAUGCCUUCAUCAAUUACAGCAGUAGCCUUGACCUUUUCAUCAGCUGAGGAAAAUGUCCAUUUGAGGACUUCAAUUGGGGGCAAGUAGCUGCAAUGGUUCAGUGUAUCAGCUUUAUAGUUGAGUGAAGACCUUGUCCUGAUGAAUCUCAUAAUCCAAGGUGCAUAAGGCUUCAACUCAAAUGGUGACAUGGCGACAUUAGCCAGAGUCCUCAUGAAGAAAUCAUGGAAGUUGAUGGGAAUGCCAUGAAUGAUAUUGAAAAGCAGAUUCUUCAUGAUGCCAACGACUUCUUCUUCAUUUGAGUCGUGGCCCUUGAUUGGACUCAAUGUCUUCGUCAGAAUGCGAUAGACAGUCCGAGGCACAUACAACAAUUCCUUCAGAAGGAAUCUUGUUCUUGAGGUCUGACCUGGCUUCAAAGGCUUCAUCAGCACUUGCAUGUAGUGAUCGGUUAGCUCAGGUUCAUUGUAGACGCAACAAGCACCUUCAAGGGGCGGACUGAGAGGUAAGGCACGAAGCAAUUCAGUAGCUGGUGCCUUGUAGUGAGUGUUUUCAGACAUCCAGUCCAGCACCCAUUAAUUCACAUCUUCAGAAUUUCCGGUGAUGUGCAGCGUUGCAUAGAAUUGAAGAAUAAGUUCUUCAUUCCAAUCACAGAUGUCAGUGCAGAAAUUUAACAGUCCACCGUCAUGAAGAACACUGAGGACUAGCACGAAGCGCGACAGAGAUUCCAUGUCCACGUGAGGAAUGUGCUCAUGAUCGAAGACUUUGUCUUUGUCGAACAGCACUGAGGAAUAGAAAUUUGCCUGGCUGGCAGUCCAGAAACGCCUCUUCCUUAUGCGAGCAGAGUCAUAAGGGUUGUAAUCAGUGAAGAAUACAUGCUCGCCAAAGAAGGCAUCAGUCUUGAAUUUUUGCUUCCUAGAGAAUGGAUCCUUUGGUUUGGGCAGAGGAGUGUCAGUGAGUUGCAUCACAACCUCAGGAAUCACAAUCUCAGGUUCUUCAGGCUGAGGAAUUUCUGGUUCCUCUUCAGUGGCAGCCUGGUUCUUGAAUUCUUCAUUUUCAGUUUCUUCAGCACUAGCGGCUGGAAUGUCUUCAUGAGCUUCAUCAGAUCCCAUUUGAACUGUAGUGACUGGGGACUAAGGAAUUUGCUACAGUGGAGUGAAGAGUGGAGAAUUGGGGUGCUGACUUUCCCAAAAGUCAUCAUUCAUCACAGGCGUGGUACAGCCAAUGUCCACAUCUUCAUCUUCAAUUUCUUCAAUGCUGGCCUCUUCAGCAGUAAACUGAGGCACAGGCGAGGAAACAACUGGGGUUGAAGGGAUUUCAUCCACUUCAAUUUAUUCAUCCAUCUGCUCUGACAUAGUAGCAGAAGGAGUUUCUUCAUCAGAUCUGCUAGGGAUCACGUAUUCUUCAUCAAAAGGAACAAGAUCCUUUGAUGGCAUGGUUGAGAUUGGAACAGCAUCAAUCGGGUUUGCAAAAGAGCUGGUCAUAGGCUUCAUUUUCUUCGGAGCAGAAGAAUCUGAAGAAGCUGAUACUUUCCUUUUCUUCACUGCUGUACGCUUUGCAGCCUUGGUCUUCUUCACAUCUGAUGCAGAUGGAAGGAUUGGAGUUGGAGUAGGCGCAGGUGGAGCAGAGGAAUUUGGUGCAGUUUCUUCAGGCACAACUGAUGCAGUUGCCAUGACCUCUUCAUUUUCUUCAGGCGCACCACUAGUGGGUGCCCUGGCAGUUUCAUCAGCGGCUGGAAUGCAGUCAUCAGCCCUGGAACUCACAUUAUCUUCAGCAGCCUGAUUGUCAUCAGCGGUGCUGGCAUGUUCUUCAGUUUGCUGAGCAGAUGCUUCAGCCGGAGUGACUUCAAUAUGCACAGCGGCAGCGGCACUUGAAGUGAGUGUCUUCGUCGGAUUGACGAACCUGACCUUGGCUCCUUUCCAAUCAGCAUAGUAAGCGUUGAAAUCAUCGCUGGGGACUUUGAUUUCAGACUGGAGCUUUACGAGUUCAUCAGUUGUCAUAGAGACAACGUUGUUCUUCAGAAACUUCUCCUUCCUGUACUGUGCUUUCUUGAGUUGCCUGGCCUUCUCAUAUUUUCAUUUUUCUUCACUGAUGAAAUGGGUCAGCAUGUGACUUUGGCCAGGUGUCAACUUGAAAUCAGGCAUAGGAGUGUUUGGGUCCUUGUGCCAGAGAUCAAUAUAGUCGAGGAUCAGCUUUGGAUCCAAAAGCAGUGGCACUUCUGUGCCCUUGGCUCUAGCGGCCCUGACUUGCCUGUCUCUGAUGAUCUUAGCAAGUUCUUCAUCAUCAGCUUCAUCAUCUUCAGAUGGUACUUGGAAGGCGACCUGCUUCUUCUGAGGACUUGGGCAAGAGCCUCGUCCUGCAGUGGUCUUAGUCUUCAGCAGAGAGGGUCCUGUUGAAGAAUAUGGUGCAGCUGAGGAACUAGCUGAAGCUCCUGAGGCAAUGGAGAUGCCUGUAGUCCUUUGGCACGUGGCAAGAUGCACAGGUGCUGAGGAUUUUGUCGGAGCAGCUGAGGACUUUGGAGGAGCAGGAGCGGCUUGAGGAAUUGGCCGUGAGGGCUUAGCUGAGGAAAUUGGCUGUGAGGGCAUUGAAGAAGAGGCACUUGGCUUGUGCGCAGGCUUCUUUGCCAUGGAUUCCUUCGGCCUUACAGAGGCCUCAGCAGCAGCAGCAGUGGAAUCUUCGUUGAAUUUCCUCACUGCAUCUUUUUCCUGUUUGGCCAACUUGGCCUGGCGCUUGGCCCAUUCUUCAGGAAAAUCCUCACUGUGCUUGAUGCUAGUGGGAUCUGCCUCUUGGCCAGGUGCCAAUGGAGAUCUUGAGCAUGGAGGAGUAACAGCGAAUUUCUUCAUAUAUUUUGGAGUCACAUACCUGUACUCCCUCCACUCUUUUGCCCAUCUCCUUUCUAUCCUCUGAAUGCGCACCUUGCGCUGAUUUUUGUCUUCCUCAGGGGGUGUGCAGUACCCAGCAUAAAUGUCCUCAGGGAUUUCAAAGGCAGUAUUGACCUCAGGCCUCUUUCCUCCUUUCUGUGGCCUCUUUUCAUUAGCCAUUUUCUUUAGUUGAGGAAUUUGAACAAUUGAACUCUCUGAAGAAGUUUGCAACUUUUCUUCGUGGAACGCUGCAAAUGAGUUAAGUUGAUGAGAACCUAGUGAUUCAGCAGCGGACAUGAGUACCUGUGAACAGAGUAUAGUUGCGAGGAAUUUGGAGAGGUCAUAUGCGUUCUCAGAAGGUUUUUCAAUAAGAACAAGUUUGAGGAAUUUGACCAGAUGAGUCUUGAAGAAUUUCACUAAGCGUUCUUUGUCUUAGGUUCCAGAGUUGCAUAGAUCGAAGAUCCACACAAUUGAGGAAUCUUGAAGAAAAGUGAUGCUUAGAGAAACGAAUCAAGAGCAGAUGACAUGUGAGGUGUUUAGUGUGUGAGGAUUUGAAGAAAAACACCUUUGAAGAUUUUGUAGUAAACAUUUGAAUCAAAGUGGGCAGUAAAAGUAACUUUUAAUUACCCUGAAUGAAGAACACGACGAACUGGGAUGUGGAGAAGUGAAGCUCGUCUGUGCAGAUCUUCCACGCCCUAACUUGGCGGAGGAAGACGGCUACGGCAGCGGCGGAGUGAAGAUUUCCGCGGCCAGCGUGAGUACGGCGGCGACGAGGUCGAGGCAGUGAAGCUCUUCCUCACCGGCGAUGAUGAUGUAGCGGCGGCGCUAGGGUUUGAGAAGCUCGAGCUUGGAGAGAGGUCGAGCGGAGUAAAAGAAGUGAGGAAGGGGAGAGGGGGUAUUUAUAGCCACGGUGAAAAACGGUUCGUCCGAAGAAAUUGGACGAACGUGCCCCUGACCCUUCUCAUUCGCAUGACAUGUGUCACCCACGUACUGAGAAGUGGAGAUCAUGUUAGAUCGUGGGUGAAUAGAUAAGUAUAUCGUGGGAAGCGGAACGGUUUGAGCGGCAAAGCCAAAAAUUUGGAUAAGAUAAGUUAAAAGUUCCGUUCGCAAAUUCUUCAGCUGACAAGGACGCAGUGAAGAUUUUGAAUGAGUUUCAAAUAGAACGCACAUGAAGAAUUUGUGAAUAGAUUGGGUUGAGUAUAGCAUAGAGGGGGAAGGGUCCGAUCACAUUCACUUAGCAGAAAAACCAACUUCAAGAAUUAGCCAUAAGUGAAUGCUGUAGAGGACGUAACUCAUAUAUAUANNNNNNNNNNNNNNNNNNNNNNNNNNNNNNNNNNNNNNNNNNNNNNNNNNNNNNNNNNNNNNNNNNNNNNNNNNNNNNNNNNNNNNNNNNNNNNNNNNNNNNNNNNNNNNNNNNNNNNNNNNNNNNNNNNNNNNNNNNNNNNNNNNNNNNNNNNNNNNNNNNNNNNNNNNNNNNNNNNNNNNNNNNNNNNNNNNNNNNNNNNNNNNNNNNNNNNNNNNNNNNNNNNNNNNNNNNNNNNNNNNNNNNNNNNNNNNNNNNNNNNNNNNNNNNNNNNNNNNNNNNNNNNNNNNNNNNNNNNNNNNNNNNNNNNNNNNNNNNNNNNNNNNNNNNNNNNNNNNNNNNNNNNNNNNNNNNNNNNNNNNNNNNNNNNNNNNNNNNNNNNNNNNNNNNNNNNNNNNNNNNNNNNNNNNNNNNNNNNNNNNNNNNNNNNNNNNNNNNNNNNNNNNNNNNNNNNNNNNNNNNNNNNNNNNNNAGAGAAACGACAGAAACAGUGAAGAUUUUGCAAAGUUGAAGAAUAUGAACAACCGAGGAAUUUCAAAACUGAGGAAAAACUCAAAUUGAAGAUUUUCAACUUUUGUGGUGGCGCGACCCACCGUAUAAGAAUGAUGAUUUCAGACACCGCGUACAAUUGUCGUAGGGUUCUGAGAAUCAAAUUCUUCAUUAAUUUCUUCACACUUAGAGUGUAAUUCUUCAUUGAUUGAAGAAAAACGUUUCUUCAUGUGUUGCACAUCUAAGUCAUCAAUUUUGCAUAAGUGUUAGGAUGAGUGUCCUUUUCAAAGAACAUUCGAAGAUUCUAAGAUAUUUAGCUCACACCGCAACUUGCGAAAUCUCUUCUUAUCCAAGGGCUUAGUGAAGAUAUCGGCUAGCUGUUCUUCAGUCUUCACAUGCUCAAUAGAAAUGUCACCCUUCAACACAUGAUCGCGAAGAAAAUGAUGACGAAUCUGAAUGUGCUUUGUCUUUGAGUGCUGAACUGGGUUGUGAGCAAUCUUGAUGGCACUCUUAUUGUGACAGAAGAGAGGCACAUUCUUCACGUUGACGCCGUAGUCCUUGAGAGUUUGCUUCAUCCACAGCAAUUGAGCACAGCAAGAACUAGCAGCAAUGUACUCAGCUUUAGCAGUAGACAGUGAUACGCAGUUCUGUUUCUUCGAGGACCAACAGACCAAAGAUCGUCCGAGGAAACGACAUGUACCAGAUGUUGACUUGUGAUCCACACGGUCACCAGCAUAGUCAGAGUCAGAAUAUCCAACGAGAUCAAAAGCCGAGCCCUUGGGGUACCAUAAUCCUAGUGUUGGUGUGUGAGCUAGAUAUCGAAGAAUAUGCUUCACAACCUUAUUGUGUGAUUCCUUCGGUGUAGCUUGAAAUCGGGCACACAUGCAAACACUAAGCAUAAUAUCUGGCCUAGAUGCACAUAAGUACAAUAAAGAACCAAUCAUGGAGCGGUAUACCUUUUGAUCGAAGUCAAUACCAUUUUCAUCAGUGCACAGAUGGCCAUUUGUGGGCAUAGGAAUUUUGACGCCUUUGCAAUCUUGCAUGCCGAAUUUCCUCAGUACAUCCUUGAGGUAUUUCUCCUGAGAUAUGGAUAUGCCAUUGCGCUAUUGACGAAUUUGAAGACCUAAGAAGAAUUUCAACUCUCCCAUCAUAGACAUUUGAUAUUCUUCACUCAUCAUAUAGGCAAAUUCAUCACUAUAACGUUGGUCAGUACAGCCAAAGAUGAUGUCAUCAACAUAUAUUUGGCAUACAAACAAUUCAUCAUCAUAUGAUUUAGUGAAAAGAGUAGGGUCGAGUGAACCGGGUUUCAAGCCUUUCUUCAUGAGGAAUUCCUUCAAAUUAUCAUACCACGCCCGAGGGGCCUGCUUGAGGCCAUAGAGGGCCUUAUUUAGUCUGAAGACUUUGUCAGGAUGCUUAGGAUCUUCAAAACCUGGGGGUUGAGCAACAUAUACUUCUUCCUCAAGCUUACCAUUGAGGAAUGCACUUUUCACAUCCAUUUGAUAUAAAGUGAUAUCAUGAUGGUUAGCAUAAGCAAGUAAUAUGCGAAUAGCUUCAAGUCUAGCAACAGGUGCAAAAGUUUCAUCGAAAUCAAUUCCUUCGACCUGUGUGUAGCCUUGAGCUACUAGUCGUGCCUUAUUCCUCACCACAAGGCCAUUUUCAUCUUGCUUGUUGCGGUAGAUCCACUUUGUGCCAAUGAUAUUGUGUUUGUGAGGAUCUGGACGAUUGACCAGUUCCCAAACGUUGUUGAGCUCGAACUGAUGUAAUUCUUCUUGCAUGGCCUGAAUCCACUCAGGCUCCAGAAAUGCUUCAUCUACCUUAGUGGGCUCUGAGAUAGAGACAAAAGCAUAGUGUCCACAAAAGUUAGAUAAAUGUGAAGCUUUUGAGCGUGUGAGAGGACCUGGUGCUUCAAUGUCAUUAAUGAUCUUCUCAACUUGCACUUCUUUUGCAACGCGAGGAUGAGUAGGUUGUCGUCGAGGAAUUUGAUCAGCAUUUUCUUCAGCACCAUUUUCUCCAGCAAUUUCUUCAGGUGCAUUAGCUCGACGUUCUUCACGUUCUGGAAUGAAUUCUUCAGCAGAUUCUUCGGUAGGAAUGACAUCCUCAGUAGCCUUGAACUUGAUAGUUUCCUCAGGUGCUGGUUCAUCUAUCACAGAGGGUAGGUGCUCUCUUUGCGAGCCAUUAGUUUCAUCGAAUCGCACAUCUAUAGUUUCAACAACCUUGUGAAGAACGGUGUUGAAGACUGUAGGUGUGCGAGUCCUUUCCGUAACCAAGCAUAAAACCUUCAUGUGCUUUCGGUGCAAAUUUAGCAUUGUGAUGAGGAUCUCUAAUCCAACAUUUAGCACCGAAGACUUUGAAAUAACUCACAUUGGCUUUCUUGUCAGUGAGGAGUUCAUAGGCAGUCUUCUUGAAGAAUUUGUGAAGAUAUACCCUGUUGAUGAUGUGGCACGCAGUAUAAAUUGCCUCAAUCCAGAAGUGACGAGGCGUCUUGUACUCAUCAAGCAUAGUGCGAGCCAUCUCAACAAGAGUUCUGUUCUUGCGCUCCACGACGCCAUUUUGCUAAGGAGUGUAAGGAGCAGAUAACUCAUGAGUAAUACCAAGUUCAUCAAGAUAGUCAUCAAGACCAGAAUUCUUGAACUCAGUUCCAUUGUCACUUCUGAUGUGCUUGAUCUUCACACCAAAGUUGGUUGAAGCCCUCGAGGAAAAUCGUUUGAAGACUUCCUGCACUUCAUGUUUGUAAGUAACAAUGUGUACCCAUGUGUAACGAGAGUAAUCAUCAACAAUAACAAGCCCAUAGAGAGAUGCGUCAUUUGUGACAGCUAAGUAAUGGUUAGGACCAAAGAGGUCCAUGUGAAGCAAUUCGAAUGGUCGAGUAGUGGUCAUGAUAGUCUUCGCUGGAUGCUUAGCCUUGGUCAUCUUUCCAGCUUCACAAGCUCCACAUAGGUGAUCCUUGAGGAAUUUGACAUUGUCAAUGCCAAUGACAUGCUUCUUCUUCGCAAGCGUGUGAAAAUUCCUCAUGCCUGCAUGACCAAGUCGUCGAUGCCAUAGCCAUCCUUCUGAAGCUUUUGCAUGUAGGCACACAGCUGGUUGCGGUCCUGUAGAGAAAUCAACAAUAUACAAGUCUCCUCUUCUAAAGCCUUCGAAGACUUUGGAAUUGUCAGCUUCCAUAACCGCAACACAACGAUACUUGCCAAAGACAACUACCAUAUCAAGAUCACAAAGCAUUGAGACAGACAUGAGGUUGUAUCCUAAGGACUCGACAAGCAUGACUUUGUCCAUGUGUCGAUCCUUUGUGAUCGCAACCUUACCUAGACCCAAUACCUGACUUUUGCCUUUGUCAGCGAAGAUGAUAUGCUUCAGAUGCGAUGGUGAUAAGGGAGCAUCAAUCAAUAGAUUCUUGUCACUAGUCAUGUGAUUUGUACAUCCACUAUCGAGGACCCACUCAGUGGCUUUGGGUUGAUCAUCCUGCAGAUGAAUUAGUGCAGCUUACGAACUUCAUAUACUUCAUCAGUGAAGAAUAUGACAUCAAUUCAUCAGAUCAAUUUCAUCAAGCAAUAGAAUAGAUAAAGCAGUAUGAGGACGUGAGAAAUGAAAGUUCAUUUCUUCAUGAUUAGCCUGCGUCCUUUCAGGCAAACUUCAGGUCUCUAUCAAAUUCUUCAGACGUUCAAGUACGUCUGUAGACCCGACCCUGCAGAAGAGAUUAGUUCUUUUUCUUCACCACCCACAUCUGAAGGGGUGGCAAAGAGUUCAUCACUCUGCGAGCUCCAUAUGAGAAAGGUGGCAUAGAAGCCAAUCCGUUUUGUUUCACAUAAGAGAAGUUAGGGUAAGCAUAUGAAUAAGUAGAGAAAUUCUUCAAGGAGUUAUGAACAUAAUGAUUAGAAGAAUAAUGCUCAUAUUCAUAGCCCUUGGCUCCUCCGUGCGAAACAGAGUUGUUAGCACGAUGAUGUUCAUAUGAGGACUUUGAUCCUCUUGAGGAAUUUGAUCCAUGUGAGGAAUUUGGUCCGUAUGAGGACUUGGAUCCAUAUGAAGAUUUUGGUCGAUAUGAAGAAUUUGAUCUGGGGUUCCUAUUCCUCACAGGUGGUGUCAUGAGGACAUUCACCUGAAGACUUUCAUGGCAUAUUUUGGGAACCCAGAUUUUCUUCAUAGGAGAACCGUUCCUGCAGUUAGUGCCAACAUAUCUAGCAAAUACUUCACCAUUCUGAUUUUUGAAUAGUUUAUAGUUGGAGUCAAAUGACUCAUCAGAAGAAUGAGGAGAUUCACAUGUAAAGCCAUAUAAGUUAGAUGGAUCAACUGGAGGUCCCUUUGCAACAACCCAUGAGGUUUUGGGGUACUGCUCAGGCUUCCAAUAUGUACCGUCAGCAUUGAGUUUUCUCUCAAAGGCAAUACCCUCUUUCCUAGGGUUUCUGUUGAGGAUCUGCUUUUUAAGCACAUCACAAAGAGUCUGAUGCCCUUUGAGACUUUUGUACAUGCCUGUCAUGUACAAUUCCUUCAGCCCUGCAUCGUUAGUGAUACUAGCAAUGUCCUCAGAUGAGGAAUUAAUGAUUGCAGAGAUAGUUGAGGAAUUUGUAGCAUUAGGAGCAUUUGAACAUUCAGGUGAAGAAUUAGCAGAUUCACGUUCAAUGCAUUUCAAACAUGGAGGAACAAAUUCUUCCUGAGCAGCGCUGAUUUGUUGAGCAAGUAAUGAAUCGCGCUCCUUCUGAACAUCUUCAUAACUCACUUUUAGCUUCUCUAGAUCUUGCUUUCUUUGAAGAAAUUCAUAAGAAAGCUUCUCAUGAUCAGACAAAAGAGUGUUAUGAUGACCUUGAAGGUUGUCAUACCUAGUCUGAAGUCUCUGAAGAUUUUCAGUCAAGGUUUUAGUGCGAUCCAUUUCUUCACCCAACAUAUCAUCACUCUUGUCUAGCAUGUUUUGAACCUUUUCAAGGGCCCUUUACUGUUUCACAGCAAUCUUAGCAAGUUUAGAAUAUCUAGGCUUAAGGUUUUCAUCAGAUUCAUUUUCACUUGAUUCAGAUGAGGCAUAUUUGAGUACCUUGGCACCCUUUGCCAUGAAGCAAUAGGUGGGAGCGUAGUCAUCAUUGCCUUCAUCAGCCUUGUUGGUGAGGUCAUUUUCUUCAGAGUUGAAGAUAGACUUGUUGACGAAUGCAGUAGCGAGGGCUAGGCUCGCCACACCGGAUUCGGAAUCCUCAGAUGCCUCCUCUUCCUCAUUUUCUUCAGAUUCAGCCUCAGAGUCCAUUUCCUUGCCAAUGAAUGCCCGAGCCUUCUUGGAGCUACUCUUCUUGUGAGAUGAAGACUUUGAGGAUUUUGAUGAUGAAGAUUUUGAGGAUUUCUUGUUUUUCUUCGUAUCAUCAGAACUGUAAUCCUUGUAUUUCUUCUUCUUUGAUUCCUUUUCCCACUGAGGACAAUCUUGAAUGUAGUGUCCUGGUUUCUUGCAUUUGUGACAAAGCCUCUUCUUGUAGUCACUGGAUGAGGAAUCAUUGCUCCUUGAGGGUCUUCCAAAGCGACCACAUCUUGAGAGCUUCUGGAAUUUCUUCACAAGCAGUGCUAGAUCAUGGCACAGUUCUUCAGGAUCACCAAGACUGCUUUCAGACUCUUGGUCUUCAGACUCAGAAACUGCCUUGGCCUUCAGUGCACGUGAUCUGCCAUAGCUCGAACCAUAGAGAUCUCUCUUUUCAGCAAGCUGGAACUCAUGAGUGUUUAGCCUUUCAAGGAUAUCAGCGGGAUCAAGUGACUUGUAAUCAGCACGCUCUUGUAUCAUCAAGGCCAGAGUAUCAAAUCAGGAAUCAAGCGAUCUCAGCAGUUUCUUCACCACCUCGUGGUCGGUGAUGUCAGUGGCACCAAGUGCUUGAAGCUCAUUUGAGAUGUCAGUGAGGCGAUCGAAGGUUUGUUGAACAUUCUCAUUGUCGAGUCUUUUGAAGCGGUUGAAGAGAUUGCGAAGAACAUCAACUCGAGAGUCACACUAUGUUGAGACUCCUUCAUUUACUUUGGACAGCCUAUCCCAGAUAAGCUUAGCAGUUUCCAAAGCACUCACUCUUCCAUACUGUCCUUUGCUCAGAUGGCCACAUAUGAUAUUCUUCGCUUGAGAAUCGAGUUGCUUGAAUCUCUUCACAUCGGCAGCGUUCAGUGAGGGUGAGACAGAGGGAACACCUUUUUCCACAACAUACUAGAGAUCGUUAUCAAUUGCCUCAAGAUGCAUUCGCAUCUUAUUCUUCCAGUAGGGGUAGUCCGUCCCAUCGAAGGUAGGACACCCAGCAGAGACCUUGAUCAUACAUGCGGUCGAAAUAACUAAAACUCCAGGCGGUUAAACCAAAAUCACACAGAACAAGGGAGUACCUUGCUCUGAUACCAAUUGAAAGUGCAUUAUAUCGACUAGAGGGGGGUGAAUAGGUGAUUUUAAUAAAUUCUUCACUGAUGAAUUUGUGGGUGAGGAAAUUCCUUAGCGAAGAUGGGAUGCUCUCAAAUGACAAGUGUCAGUUUCUCUCGGACCAGCCAACCAGCUAGUGGUUGUAGGGGGCGGCUAUUUAUAGCCUAGGGAGCAGCCCGCAUGAUAAGACAUAAAUGCCCUUCAAUGAUAUGACCGUUAGGUGGGUAGAUAUUUUGGGACAGCUGGCGCAGAGCACAGCAACGGUCGGAAAUUUGAGGUUCAAAUUCCUCAGGGCUAUCAUGUUCCUCACUGUGUAGGCAAUCCGCACUGGCGAAUUCCUAACUCCUCAGUCAGAACAAAUUCCUUAGAGACCAGAAGAACUUCGUCUCUGUCACUAAAGAAUAUGACUGAACUGUAUGAGAUUUCCAAUGGCUUCACUCGAAGGGAUUGGUAGGUGUAGGAUUUUGAGUUGAGCAUCACAUGGAAAAUUUUCCUUAGAAUUUCCUCGACCCCCUUUAACAGUACGGUGUUUCCUAUGACUCAAGAAAGAGAAAAUGAAACUACGAAAACAAAAGUCUUCACGCUUCAUAUUCCUCAAAUGAAUACCAAGUCUUCAAGGUCACACCAAUUUCUUCACUUUCAAAGUCUUCAGAAAGUCUUCAGAAAUCACAAGUCUUCAGUCGAAGAACUUCAUUUUUAGGGGUCGACUUUCUCUGUAAAUAUCAAACUCCUCAUAGACUUAUAGACCUGUGUACACUCAUAAACACAUUAGUCCCUUAACCUAUAAGUCUUCAAUACACCAAAAUCACUAAGGGGCACUAGAUGCACUUACAGAGAACGACAUACCCGAUAAAAAAUAAGAAGAGGAAGAAGAACAAAAAAAAAGAGGAGAAGAAGAAAGGAAUAGAGGAGAAGAUCGAACAAAAAAAAAGAAAAAAAAA